This 62951-nucleotide long non-coding RNA is filed under the name Sorghum bicolor (sorghum). Its description in RNAcentral is "long non-coding RNA (SBIC_LNC004914)". The record is from RNAcentral. Lineage: Eukaryota; Viridiplantae; Streptophyta; Magnoliopsida; Poales; Poaceae.
AUUCUGUUUAAACUCAACAUCUUCUGAUCUUACAACUUUUCCUUCGUAGUCUGCCUAUCCGUCCUUGAUGAUUUGCCUCCUCUGGUUGCGGUUGCGUCGUCUUCUUCUUGUCCUGACCUGCUUAGAAUCUUCAACUAUGUAGUUAGAAUCAUUAAAGUAAUGGCGUACCUUCUCAGAGAGGAAAUACACGUGGACUUCUCCGGUUCCAAUGUAGAUGAUAACUUGGAUAGUGUUGAGGAAUGGUCUUCCAAGGAUGAUGGGUGGAUCGUACUCGUCUUCUCCCAUAUCAAUGUUCUGAAAAUCAUUUGGAGCUAAAUAUAUAUUGGUUGUAGGGGCAUGGUUCCAUGCAGGAGCUGAUAAGUGACUGCGGCCAUUAUGUUGACGUUAGAUCCGGUGUCGUAGAGUGUUUUCUAAAAAGAGUAUCUAUUGGUUGUGCACUCGAUGAUUGGAACACCAGGGUCGUCCUUCUUGAUCAAGAAAGGUGACUUGAGUCGACGAUCUUGACCUCCUUGAGCUGUAGUGACCAUCUUAGCUGACUCGGUCCACAUUUGCUUGUUCCUGUUCCUCCUGUUGGUCCUCUUCCUUGGUUCAUGUCGGGAUUGCUCUGAAGUUUAUGUAGUCUUGUUCUUGAAGAAAAGUCUCCUUCUUCCCCUUGAUGUAGAGACUGAUCUUGGCAUCAUUAGCGUAGAUGACAGCUCUGGUGUUUAGGAAUGGCCUCCGUAAGAUGAUGGGUGCCCUCUCCUCAGUACCAGUCUCUACCACCACGAAGUUUGCUGGAGCGUACAAGGUACCAACUUGGACACAGAGGUUCUUUAAUAUUUCCUUUGGGAAACUAAGUGAUAUGCUCACGCCUAGGGAUAGCGUGAGACAAGUCGUUGUGGCCCGAUCUUCUCGUAGGAUUCGCGAACUUGAUAACUUGUCGCUGCGUGACCUGGUGAAGAGGCAGUGCACCGCGAGGCUGUCCACGCGACGAACUACCGAGACAAUCACCCUUCCACGUACCGACGAACAGCCCACGUAAUCACGCCGUAUAGACGUGAAGGCACAAACUGGAUGAACCGGAGUUCGGCGUUCUACAACUCCCUCAGGAAUCGAAAGAACAAGUUUUGCAAGCCUCUCAAGACUCACGCAUAAACAAAACUCCACGAGUUUGUGUAUUCUGAAUUUUAACCAAGCAAGAUGUGUCCUUUCAUUGUCUAGUACAAGAGAUAUAUAUAGAUAGGGGCGUUCAGCUUUGAAUACAUGACAGCAUGCACAUCCACUAGUGGAUUUCGUGGCUGGUUCUCGCGUCUUCUCAGCUUCUGGCAGCAGUUACUAAAAUGAGCAUAACUCUUUAUUGGGAAGUCUAAAUAAUGAACUGUUUGAUGGGCUGCAACAUAGACUUAAAGAUGCUUUCAUCCAUCUGUAGAAUGCCACGUAACUCCUUGUAUUCUGUCCGUGGUGAUGCUUGGAAUUUGUACCAUGGGUCAGCCAUCUAGCUUCUGGUUGCCUUCUCAUGCAGAAGUAAUGAAUCACCAUUUUAUUUAUGCACACGAUAGGCUUCUUGGUUCAGAUGUCCAAAGGCUUGAAUCCAUCUUCAUCCCAUGCUGGUUCAUACCCUCCAUCAUUCCUAAGGACAUUGAAACAAGAACUCAAAAGUAUAGGAUCAUUCAACAUAAACUGAUUAUUAAACAUAAGGUUAGCGUUCACCUGAGAAUGAAUUUCCUUCUCCAAUUGUUUAGCUCUACUUCUUGUAAUUGGACCACUUAUAUCAAGUGGAGUUUCAUUUGAAGAUGAAUGAAUGCUAGGGAUGUCCUCAUCACUAAGUGUCUGAUCUCCAUUGUGUUUGUGCUCGUAGAUCCUGGUUCUUCACUUAAUGGAAUCUGGGAGUUGUAAAACGCCUUCACGUUUCUCAAAAUGUGUCCUGCUCAUAGAGACAAGGCAGAGAUCAAGUGCAUGGGCUCUGUUGGUGGAAAACACCAACAGAACCAAAAGUGUAUUUGUUCUUUUCUAACCUUAAGCAUAGUGAGCAAGACAAAGUUGAUGGAUCAUGAGUGUAGCAUUUAAAACAUUUGUUAGAUCAGAUGGCUCAACCUAAUGGAAAGAUAAUCUAUCUAUAUUUAUGUUUUGUUUUUAUCUUCCAAAGAUUGAAUGUGCAACAUAUUAGCUUAUAUGUUUAGGAGCGUGGGAUUACGAAGGCAGUACUAAGAACAAAGAUUAAGGGACUAAACAUGUUGAAUCAGUUAGGUUGGUUAAUUUAGAGUUAUAAAUCAUACAUGUUUGUCUCUUUAUUUAUGUGAACGCCACAAGGAGAAACUUAUAAAAGGAUAGUCAAGUACCUUAAGAUGUUACCUUUGAAGAGUGAUGGUACAGUAUCACCUUGUAGAAGCUUUCCUUUCUAGCGGUUGUGCAUCGUGUUUGUGGCUCCCUCCAUGGAUCAUCUCUUAUGAGCUACGUCUUUCUUAUGCAAAUUGUUAAACUUCAUGUGUCACUUUCUUUAUCUCCAAUGUGAUUUUAUCUCAGGACUUCCCAGGUUGAUAUUGAAAGUUUUCCUGCAGGGGUUAGUCCCACAAAAUAUACCAAUGUCUACACAAGCAAUUUUUAGUUCGAUAACCGAACUAGACUCCAUGUCUCAUCAGAUUAAGGAAGGCUGUUUAACCUAAGCAACAUGCUUAAUUUAAAAGCCAAUAGAAGUAUGUGCAGUACUUCCAAACUAACACUUACUAGGAUAAACAAAGGUAGCGUGAUGGCAUUUAUAGAGAUCUACUUAAGUGGAGAUGAAGUAGUGUGAUUAGUAUUUAACAAAUUGAGCAUGUCUCAAAGGUAAGGACAACCAACAUAGCAACAUGGCAAAGGAUGUGUUAUGUGAAGUACUCCCUAAGCUUGAAUUUUGCAAAAUUCAAGAUUGGAUGAAUUUAAUUCAAUGUUGCAUGUUGAUUGGUUGGGCAUACUUUGCGCUUGUCAUUCAUCCGGUCUUCUUGCUCCAAUCCUAGAAAGGUUAGUGACAAGAAUACCCGAAGGAAUAUUUCUACAAUUAUCUUAUAUGCUCAAUACACAAGGUAAUGAUGCAAGUAAUUAAAAGUUCAUGUUACAAUCUGAUAAGUGCUUGUUUUAGGACACUAAGCUUGUCCUUGGGAAACCAUCAAUUAACUCGACGAGAUCUGCAAUAUUUAUUAUAAACAUAUGCAUCGACAACCGCUCUUUUAAAGUUUUUAUAAAUAGAAAAGAAGAGAGGGUUGGAGAUCUCAAAUGUGGUGAUAGCACAUGAAUUUUUAAUGCCCUCUAGCCAUUGAUGUUGCUCUCCUCGAUCCUCCUUCUUAUGCAUGGGAUGUCUAGAGAGAUUCAUAGGAUUAUCGGGAGGUUCAAGAGAAAGAGCAUAGUAGAGAUUAUUAGGCUCAAGGAUGGGUUGGAUAGCCAAAUCAUGGGAUUGGAAUGUUUGGAAAUCGGCUAUUGAAACUUCCUCUCCUUGUAUGGGAGAUGAUUCCUUCUCUAUCUCUAAGAUUUUUCUGUGAAGACUAGUGCAAGAAGGAUGUCUACGAAUGAAGACAUACCUUCCUUUACUAAUAGAUAAAGAAAGAAAGACUCUACCAAAGAUUAUAUGAUUAAGACCAAUGUGAAAAUAUCUAUGAAAAACAUGGUCUUGUAGGGCUAGGUCUAAACCAGAAUUUAUAGAAAGAUUAACAGAUUCCCUAGGUGUAGCUAAAAGUGCAUUAUCUUCUUGAUUAAAAGAUAGGACCUCGGCUAUAGAAAAGGGUUGGUUUUGACCUAUUGCAAUCAACUCCGGACACAGAUCAUAAUUAGGGGCAGGACGUGUUGACUCCCAUGGUCUAUGGCUGGUCUCCGAAGGUGCAAAGAAUUUAAUAAUAGUUAUGGAAUUUGAGAUAUCCAUAAAGAUAAAAAGAUAAAAGAAUAAAAGUAUAAAAGUAUAAUACAAGAUAAUAGCAAGACUCAAAGUUAUCUCAGCAAACCGUCUUUCUCCCCGGCAACGGCGCCAGAAAUGCUUGUUGAUAUUUGGGAACGCAAUAAGGAAAUGAUCCGCAAGCGCACGGAUAUCGGUGAGCAUUUCACCCGGGAGGUUUUCCAGAGUAUCGUAUUUAUAUUUUUACCACUGGGAGAAAGGGUGCAUCUGACUAACCAAAUCUAUUGCUACUAUCCCUUUAGGCACAAAGAAUGUCUUUCGAUGUGAGUGAUAAAUAGAGAAGACUGCAACCGUAGUCUCCUUCUAACCUUGGUAAGGAUGAUCUACUGUUCUAAUGGGGAGGCUAACGGAAUCUAGACACCACAAAGGAUGUUCGACCCGCACCUAUAAACCCUAUCCUUCCUGCUAACGAGAUGUGAUCUACAAAGUAAACUCAUAAACCAUAAGAACAAUAAACAAGAACUUACUAGAAUUUAGAAGUCGAAUUAUUGAAGAAUCCUAGGAGCAAGCUUCGGGUUAGGAGAACUUGAUCCCGCAGGUACAAGCUUGGAGUAGACACCGACAGGCCGGGCUUCCUCCACUCUACACCUCCACUCUAUAUCUCUCAAUCUAGUAGAAACUAGAAGAUCUAUUUCUACCUUACAUUGAUUGCUAAGCCUAAAAAAGAAAUAUUAAUUAGAGAAGAGGUUUUCCUUCGAGGGCACCCCUCAGUCUCUAUGAUAAUUUCUUCAUGUCUUCUCCAGGGGCCAGGGGGGCCUCGCUUAUAUAGUCCUCCCCUUCUAUGCGUUUUUGGGUCGAUAGCCGAGGUGGUACUAUGUUUUUCUUGAUCCAAUAGGUCGGUGGAAUAUCCUGAGCGAAGGAGUCCUGAAUUGGCUCCAGCAGGGGGGCGGGCGCCCAGGCUACCAGGGCGGGCGCCCUGGGCCUGGCCCAACUUCGCCUCAGCUUCGGUCUCGUGGCUUCUGGAGUCUUCUAGAUGAUGUAAAAUUGCGCGGUGCGUUGAUAUCUCUAUGUAAUCCUGACAUGUGGGCCUUUCUUCCUUAUUUCCUGAUAACCCCCUGCAGAAAUAGAUAAACAACAAAACUCGUGGAAUUCUGUCAGAUCAAACCCUAAUUCUAGGUGAUGGUUGCAUAUUGGUCCUUUCUCUUGUUUAUUUGAUAAUUAAAAUUGAUACUUAAGAACCGUCAACAGCCGGCUUGGUCGAGGACCACUAGGAAGUAGUUGGUCGUGACAUGCUCGUCCCCUGCUACAGACCGGACUGCGAUCUCGUAAAGAGUGAUCUAGUUUUCACAAUUCUCAUUGGCAUCGUAUUUUUUGAGCUUCUCAAGCUUGAAGUUGUGGGGCCACACGACUUAGCGAAGGUGUGACGAGAAAUGUCUUAGGCCAGGGGGGCCGUGUGCUGCAUCGUACUCGAUGCGUCGCACGUUUUCGUGUACUGCUCGUUCCGUAAUGCGCGUGUUGAUGCGUUCACGGACAUCCUUAGGAGGGAUGUUGUGUCGUAGAUCCCAGUCUUGGUUCACCUCCUGACCACAUCCGCGUCUUUGUUCGUGGUAACUACCAGCAUCCCGACCACGAUUGUCGUGACGGGUGUCCUUCCUUCGAUUAUUGACAGGUGAACGGCUACGAUGGUGCCCACCAGAUCGCGGUGAGGUGCAGCUGUGAUGAGUCUGGUCGAAGGUGACCUCCGUAUAGGAAACGGCUUGGACCGUUUUGAGCAGAGUAGCGGUCUGACCCAUGGCCGCAAUCAGAAGCGCCCGUAUGUUGGUUCGAAUGUCCUGAUAUUCCGGAGUAUCGAGAAAGCGAUCUAAGUUUGCCAUGGAGACGGCCACAUUGGCGCUUGGUGUCUUGUAGACCUGCUGAUUUCCAACCAUGUCGAAAGCAUCGCUAAGAUUAUGUGGGGCAAGCUGUCGUUCCUCGUCUGCUCGUCGUUGGGCACGGUCGGCGUUGCGCUGCUCUCAUUGCUGUCUCUGUUCGUCAGUUUCACCGUCAACAACUGGUUCGUCAUUACUGACGUUGAGAACCAAGUCUCCUCGUCGAGGUGUAAAGACUGAGAAGUGGGAGAACCCCGUGGGGUAUGGUGGGAGAUCUAAAUCGUAUUCUUCGUCCUCGGGGUGUAAAAUCUCGGUAGGGACAGAUCCUGUACUGGAGCUUGUACUACUGGACAUGUCUUCCGGCAAAGUGCAGAUGGAGACCAUAUUGACGAAGUGACGGGCUGUUUGCCUGUUUUGGCUCAGCAACAAGCCUGCCUUCCCGAAUAGAGAUUGGGUAUGCCGUGAAAACUGACCAGUCGCGUUGCUCAGACCAUAAGGGCAAUUCUGGUCAGGGGAGGCUGUCUUGAGCUUGACGGUUCGUCCCGUGGUGGUCGAUGUUAUCGUCAGGGACGUCCCCAGUCGUUCGUGCAUGGAGGCACGAGUUAGUCAACGGGAGUCGAAAAAAUUUGUUGUUACCGCCUAAUCAGGCUUGCGUGGAAUCGAAUCCACCAGGUUGGAGGCUUCGAGAAGCUUGUGGUCGGCGCGAUCGAGGGCUUGAAGAAGAUCCAAGUUGUCGACUCGCUUUGCCCUAUAGUGAGGGAGCGAAGGUCGGGUUCUCGGAGUCGGCGUGAUCGGAGUCCACGCCUCUACUGUCCCAGAUUGGAUCCGGAUUUCCUCCGGAGUCGUGGUCGUAAGGCUACCGCCGUGAGUUGUCCAAGUGAUCUGUCCAACGGUGAACGUGAGACCUUAAGCCACGGCCGCAGAAGCUGGAACGAUGACCAUCUUGUUCGUCGGGAGAGCUGUACGCACAACCCCUACCUGGCGCGCCACUGUCGACGAAAGCUAGUCAGCAGUCUACCUUGGGGUAUACCCAUGGUAGUAGUUUAUCGGCAAAAAGGUGCGCAAGCUACGAACUUGAUGGUGGCGCAAGAUACGGACAAGGUUUCUAUCCAGGUUCGGCCGCCGUGUGCGCGUAAUACCUAUGUCUUGCGUCUGAUUGUAUUGUUGUGGAUUGUGUUGAGUUGAGAUGAGAUGUCUAGGCGGGUCCCUUGCCUCUCUUUAUAUAGUCCAAAGGGCAGGGUUACAGAUCUGGAAACUAAUCCUAGUCGGUUACAACUGCCAUAGAUAACACGAUAUCAAUUCCUAUUCUAACCGACUAGAAUCUUGCUUGAUCUCCACGUCUUGCUUCCUUGCGUGAAACUCCGAGCAAUUAGAUCAAGCCUCAACUGUCUCGUGAUGGGCCAAGCCUCCUGGCCCAAGUCUAGCCGUAAGGGUAUAGGGGUUAUAUCAAGGAGUUAUAUCAGGUGCGUCCUAAUUGAUUUCUGAGCAUAUCAUAUGUUCCAUGCAAACCGUGCAUCUAUCUUGCAUCAAGAUUAGCACUAUCUCCAAACAGACCAAACCGAGCUGUCACUUGAGCCCCUUGACCUUGGAGUACCAUCGGGUGCGUCCAAAAUGGUUUCUUAUCCUUUGGUGCAUCAGGUGCAAACUGUGCACCUAUCUUGCACCGAAACUAACACUGUCUCUAAGCAAGAUUUCGUAUGGCACACGUCAUCUAGGAGUUCCAUCAUGUGCCUCGAGAUUGAUUUCCAAGCAUUUGGUAUGUUCCAUGCAAACCGUGCACCUAUCUUGCAUCAAGAUUAGCACUAUCUCCAAACAGACCGAACCAAGCAUCAACUUGAGAUCCUUCACCUAGGAGUACCAACAAGAGCAUCCAAAAUGGUUGCUUAGACUAUGGUGCAUUAGGUGCAAAGUGUGCACCUAUCUUGCAUCAAAACUAACAAUGUCUCCAAAUGAACCGAAGCGAGAUUCCAUAUGACACACGUCAUCAAGGAGUUCCAUCGGGUGCAUCCAAAUUGAUUUCCAAGCAUAUAAUAUGUUCCAUGCAAACCAUGCACCUACCUUGCAUAAGGAUUAGCACUAUCUCCAAAGUGACCGAACUAGGCUUCCACUUGAGCCUCUUCACCUAGGAGUACCAAAUAGUGCAUCCAAAAUGGUUUCUUAGACUAUGGUGCAUUUGGCCCAAACUGUGCACCGAUCUUGCACUAAAACAUACAAUGUCUACAAACGGACCGAAGCAAGAUUCUAUAUUGAAAGGAUCAAGAUGCCCAAGAGGGGGGGUGAAUUGGGCUUCUCUAAAAAUUUAAGCAACCUAUAAGCUCCCAUUCAACCCCUUGUGCCUAGUGUGACUAGAGAGCUACCGUAUAAAAGUUUCGCAACCUAGUUCCAAUCCUAUUCUAGCAUGGCAAUUCUAAGAAUGUAAAAGCACAAAGUAAACACUAGAAGGUAAAGGAGUAGUGGAAGAAAGUGCUCGGUGAUGUUUUGCCGAGCUAUCGGAGAGUCGCCACUCUCCACUAGUCCUCGUUGGAGCACCCGCGCAAGGGUCUUGCUCCCCCUUGGUCUGCGCAAGGACCAAGUGCUCUCUACAGGCUGAUUCUUCGACACUCCGUCGCGGUGAAUCGCCCAAAACCGCUCACAAGCAUGACACGAGCCACCCACAAGAACUCCGGGCGGUCUUCAUGCGUCCAAUCACCACCGAACCGUCUAGGUGAUGGUGAUCACCAAGAGUAACAAGCAAAGAACUCUCACUUGACACAAACAAGGCACUAGAGAGUGGUGGAUGCACACUUGACUCUUGGAAUUCAACUAGAGAAGGAUUCUCACAAGAAAUCACUCAAAUCUCAAUCCUCUCUAGGCUCUUGCUACUCUCUUGCUCCAAAACAAGUUUCUCUGAUGUUCAAAUGGGCAAGAGAGCUCUCAUGGACGAUGUGGAGGAGUAUAAAUACACCCCCACGAAGUCCAAAGGUCAACCAACCUUUUUCCACUGAAAACGGAGUCACCGGACGCUGUUGAUGUUGCACCGGACGCUCUGCACCGAGCGUCCGGUGACAUCCAACGGCUAACUGUACCUACGUCUGACAGGUCACCGGAUGCUACUUCCCAGCGUACGGUGGCAGCGUCCGGUGCUCUGGGGAGUUUUAUAAGCUCCCUGAGUUUAAGACCGGACGCUACCCGGUGCGUCCGGUGCUCGGGGUAGGUUUACAACCUCCCUGAGUAUGGGACCAGACGCUGCCCGGUGAGUCCGGUGCCACCGUCUGGUGACUAACCCUAGGCACCGAAGCUCUCCAAUGGCUAAGGACCUCACCGGACGCAUUCACAGAGCGUCCGAUGCCUACUUAGGCACCCUAACUUCGUCGAAACGCGAUCGUUCCAAAAUGAAGUUGGUUCCUCUCGAUCUAAGGACUAUCUCUGAGAUUCCUAGUGCUAGGUUUACCAAGUGUGCACCACACCUAAACCUAAAGCCUUGCCUAAGUCAAGAUACUAGAUCAAAACCCCUCUUAAUAGUAUGGUCAAAGGAAAACAAAGUCCUAACCUAUUCUAAGUGCCCUUGUUCACCAUAUGGCACUUAGACCUAGUCUAGUCUUGACAAUGUCCAUCCAUCCUUUGAAAACCGAAACGAUUUCCACUAUUAAGUAGGCAUGUACGUCCCUGUUCAUCGAGUACCUAUUACCAUGACCUCACUAAUGACUUUGCCUCUGCAAAACACACGUUAGUCACAAUAAUCAACAUUGUCAUUAAUCACCAAAAUCAUUAGGGGCCUAGAUGCUCUUUCAAUCUCCCCCUUUUUGGUGAUUGAUGACAAUAACCUCAAGUAGGAAAGAGAAUGAGGUUUUCAAUUGACUUGGUUUCUAUCAGCAUGAGACAAUAAGAACAAAAAGGAUUAGGCAUGCUUAUAUUAAUCAAGUCUAUCAUCUUGCAUCCAAAUAUGUGAGAUGUAUACAAUAGGAUAUAAACAUAUAAGGCUUAUAGUACAUCGGAGUAAAAACGCUAAAGCAAAGUAAUAUGAGCCAAAGACAUGACAUAAAAAUAUCACAGAUAAGCAUAAGUCAUGUCUCACAACCAUAAAGGUAUCUCACAAGAGUAUCUCACACAAAUGCAAUGCAAAAACGUAAACAUGAUGCAUGGCAGAGUAGCACACAAAAGUAUAUCAAAAGAACAAAGCCCACUCUAGCUCUAGCUCUAGCUCAGCUCCUCCUAACUCUCAUACUCUCAACUCUCUCCCCCUUUGGCAUCAAGCGCCAAAAACCUAAGACGAAGGAGGUGGAGGCGGAGCAGUGGAGUCCCUCGGCACGACCUGAAACUGUGCUGUAUCAUCUGAUCCAUCGGCCGUCGAGUCGGAGGAGAUAGAGUGAUCCUCUGAAGCUGCACGUACUGGAGAAGCAGUCUAGGUCGGAUCUAUGGGCUCUGAAUCCAUCACGGGCUGUGCUGGCUGCUCAAGUCCUGCUGACGAAGCUAGCACAGACUCUGUCGCUGUAGCUGACGUCUCUCGUACGGUAGAGGAAGGUGCAAGCUGCUCAGACGAAGCAACUGACGACGACAGGCACUUAGUGGUGGUAACUGGGACCGUAAAGGCUACAGGAGCCUGCAGAGGUGGAGGCGUAGGGUCACCAGUCAGAUCACUGUAAGAGAAACUGAGGUGCUGGCCUGCCGACGAAUCCAACACAAGCUGGGACGCUGUCGCUGACUGAGGUGUAAAUCCUGAGCGUAGAGGCGUGAACUGAGGCACCUGCUCCAAGCCAGACGAGAUAGCACCCUGUGAAACCUGGUGCUGUGGCGUCGAGAAGGGCUGACUCUGAGCAGGGAGCUGAAGCGGCUGCUGGGACUGACUCUGUGGCACUGGUGUAGGAGGCCUGACUCACGAAGUGCCUGGGAGGUGUAUCUGAGGAAGCUGAAUCCCUAAGGCGGCCAUAAGAGUGGCCAUCAUCGCCGUCUGCUGAGCCUGGAAUGCAAGCUGCUGCUCCUGGAAGGUCAGAAGCUAUCUCUAGAGCUCGUCCUACCUAGCCUGCAUGGCUGCAUUGGUGGCAGCCUGGUCCCUGUCUCGCCUAGCCUGCUGCUCAGCUGCCCGCCGCUGAUCGGCUCUCAUCCCCUCUAGAAUAGCAAGUAGAGCGGGGUCUGAAGUACUCGAGGAACCUCCUGCCUCGUGGUCGUGCAGCCUCGGAGGAAGGUCUUACACUGGAAGACGAUAAUCAUUGUCUGAGCUGUCCGAAGCAAAGUCAAACUCCUCCUUAGCCUCAGCGUCUGCAAACGCCCCAAUGGCGAUAUCCUGCUCCUCCUCAGUCUCUGGGACUACUCCUGAACUGCGAGUGCCCCUAGGAGAGGGUGGUGGCACCUGGCCACGUGGUGCACGAGGAGGUGGCGGAGCUCUAAGGUCGUGAUGCGCUCUCUGCAUCUGCCGGGGGUCAUAGUGAGGGAACACGGUGUCAGAGUCUGUCAGCUCUCUCUGCAGGUGAGCUGGAAGAGGUACUGGCCUAGCACGAAGGAUGAGCAUGGUGAUCCAGUGUGCAUACAGCAGCUGACGCCGACCCCUGAAACUCUCUGAAAUAGUGUCCUCAAUCUCUAAGACUAUCAAAUCCCACAAGUCAAAUGGCGUCUUCGAGAUCAGAUGGGCUACCAACCACUGCUGAAUCCUGGUGAAGCCGUCUUUGUAUCCUGUCCUGGGAAAGAGCGUCUUCCUCAACACAAAGUCAAGGAUCCUGGCUGGGCGAGUCAAGUCUCCCACUGACCUGCUGGAGCCCUCUACAAAAGGUUGACGGAAACAGGGAGCCACAAAGUCAACUGGUGGUAGAGCACCACCGUGAGGACGUCGAGGAGGCUCGAAGUUCCCGUAGCAAAGCUGAUGGAUCCGAGUGGAAUAGGCUCUCAAACCAAGAACCUCUCUGGCCCUCUCUGCUGUCACUCCGUAGUCAGUGCCUGCCAGUGCGUAGUUGAUAUAGCUAUGGUCUGGUGAAACCCACACUGAGGCAUAAAACUCUCGGACCCACUCCUCACAAUAAGUGCCCGGUAAAGCAAGUAACUCUCGAAGACCGGUCAGGUAGGUGAAGUACUGUCUGAUGUCCGCACCGACCACGUUCCCGAGUAUCUCAAGGUCAAGCACCCUAUGCUCCGUGAACUGAGCCUAUGAGCGGACAAGUGCCUCGUACAUAUCCUCGUGAACCACUAUAUAGAACCUGGCACUGGCUCUCAGAUCCCUGGCAGCUGGAAACAAAGUCGGAAAGGGAACAAACCGUAGCUCCUGGAUCUCUCGAGCUGGAACCUGGGUCUAAUCCUUUUGUAUCCUCACUGGUGCUGGAUGAGGAGUUGUAGGGCCACGAGCUAGAGUAGAGCGAGCAGCGGAGGUGGACUGACCCUGCGUAUCAGUUUAGGGAUGGCCUGAGUACGAGCGUGAGUCGACCUCCUGAUGGGCUGCUCCCGCUGUUGUGCCUCUGUCAGGCCCUCUGCCUAGGCCUCUGCCUCUGUCUCGGUGUCUGGGUCCUCCUGAGCUGACUCUCUGACUGCAAUCCUGACACGCUGACCUCCUAGCAUGAUAGUGCUAGGAGGAGACCCGUGUAGAGCCUCAGCCUCAAGAAUUGCAUGCCUCUGCCGUGGUGAGAGAUCGGCCCCUAUCCUCAGGGCACCUGAGCGUCCACCCCUCUCUACUGCCACAGCUGCUGCUGCUACUGCCUCGGCCACCUUUGCCUCUAUGUCACUAGUCUUCCUUUUCUUGGUGGCAAGCUUUUUGCCUUUUCCCUUCUCUGCCGCUGACAGGCGACGGGGAGGACCCCCUGAGAACCCCCUGAGCUGGUUGCCGGACCACUGACAAUCUUGCAACGUGCCAUUGCAAGAAACUAUCCCUAAAACACUACCGACAACUGACCAACUAUCACUCAAGAUGCUUGGCCUCAAUUCGUACCCACGGGCUUGGCCCUGAGUUGGCUAUCGCUGCCAAACUGUCACAAUAGAUCAACGUGCUGCAAGAGAUGGAAUAUAUAGGGUAUACAUAAGCAAACAUAAUAGCAAGAGGUGAGAAGACCCUAUAGAACGCAAGAUUAGAUAAAGAACGGGCGCAAACGGCUUACGAUCGGGCGACGAGACGUGUUCCGGAUGAAAGAUCUCAAUCAGAAUCCGUUGGGGAACGCGAGUCAACUCCUCAAGGUGCUAUGAAGGGUAAACGAAGGGGAACAUUGUCAAAAACAACAUUCAAAUUCGUUUAGGCAUUAAACCAAACACCUUAAGGGCAGGGGAGUUCAGUCUCACCUCAAAAAUUAGAAACCUCGAGAGAAGAAGGAUCCUGGCAUGAGGAGAGGAAAGGAGGACGCCUUGGGAAGAGAUCUGGCUGUGGGGAAGAAAAAUCCACGGGGAAAAACCUCUUCACCGGCGGUGGCGACUUGCAGGCAGCUAGGGCACGGGGGUGCGCUGCGGGCUGGGCGAAGUCGUUGGGAGAGAGAAGAACUGACGAAACAGAUGCGGAUCUCGGGGUUAUAUGCACCUGUCGCAGGGUCACCGGAUGCUCUUUAUAUGGCACCGGACGCGUCCGGUGACCACCAGACUAAAACAGAGAGAUUGUUUUAAUUCGGCCGAGCACCAGACGAUGGCCACCGGACGCUGGCCUAAGCGUCCAGUGCCCUAGGGCAUGCCGGGCGAAACACCAGACGCACCUCACCGGAUGCUGCUGGGACACUGUUCCUGCGUCCGGUGAGUGCUGUCCAACAGACUCACCACACCGGACGCACCGAAGCAGCGUCCGGUGCACCUCUGGCACUUUUUUCAACUAAGAACCUCGUCCGAUUUUUACCCAACCAAGUUCCAACUUCAAGAAGACUCAAAUAAACACUGGUUGGAACUAGUAUGAGUAACCUCUCUCAAACCCUCAAAUUUUCACAAGUAUUUAGCCUUAGGCUUAGUAGUUUUUAUAAAAAUAGUCAUGUGAAAAGAACCGAGGAGCAUCGUAUGGCCAUAAAGCUAGGGGUUUAAAUCCAAGUGAGCUUUGAAUGCUCCCCCUAUCUAUGGACGAACAGAGCGGAUGCUCAAAGCAUAACCAAAGAGAAAUGGUUAACUAACAAGCAUUCAAAUGAUAUGAGGUGAAAUGCAAUACUUUAAAGUAAACUAAUGCUUGUCAAGUUUGAUCCAAGGUUAAGCUUUUUCACACACACAAGGGGGUUAUCUUAACCAUGUUAGACAAGCCCUACACACAAUUCUUUUUGUAUUUUAGUUUUGGUAUCCAUGAUAUGCAAAACAAAAACUAUUUACAAGUUCAACACACAACUUCAUUUUUUAGUGAAGUUAGAGAGAUCAAGCACAAUAAGUUCAUUUCUCAACAUACAAAACCUAGCUUCAUCUAGGGGUUUUGUGAAGAUAUCCGCCAAUUGAUUUUCCGUUCCCACAUUCUCUAGAGAUAUGUCACCUUUAGCAACAUGAUCCCUAAGGAAGUGGUGGCGAAUGUCAAUAUGUUUUGUGCGGGUGUGUUGAACCGGGUUGUUAGCAAGUAUUACGGCACUUUCAUUGUCACACAAUAAAGGUACUUUGUCUAGUACUACUUCAUAGUCUAGCAAAGUUUGUUUCAUGUAGAGUAUUUGUGCACAACAAGCACCGGCGGCAAUGUAUUCCGCCUCGGCCGUUGACAAAGCAACACUAUUUUGUUUCUUUGACAUCCAAGAGACAAGUGAUCUACCUAGGAAGUGGCACCCUCCGGAUGUGCUUUUUCUAUCAAUCCGACACUCGGCAUAAUCCAAAUUGGAAUAGCCUACAAGUUGGAAUCUUGCACCUUUGGGAUACCACAAACCUAGGCAAGGUGUGUAUUUUAGAUACCUAAGAAUUCUCUUGACGACAAUCAAGUGAGAUUCCAUAGGCAUUGCUUGAUAUCAGCACACAUACACACACUAAACAUGAUAUCGGGCCUAGAUGCGGUGAGGUAGAGUAGACUUCCUAUCAUGGAAUGAUAGAGAGUCUUGUCAAUUGGGUUACCUCCCUCAUCUAAGUUGAGAUGCCCAUUUGAUGCCAUGGGAGUCUUGAUUGGCUUGCAAUUCAUCAUCUUGAACCUCUUGAGAAGAUCUUGAGUGUACUUCUCUUGAGAGAUGAAGACCCUUUCCUUCAUUUGCUUGACUUGAAAUCCUAGGAAGAAGGAUAGUUCGCCAAUCAUGGACAUCUCAAACUCCUUGGACAUCAAAUCACCAAAUUCCUUGUAAAAAUCUUCAUUAGUAGAGCAAAAAAUAAUAUCAUCAACAUAAACUUGACAAAUGAAGAUUUCCCCAUUCAUUUUCUUGGUGAAGAAUGUUGUGUCAACUUUCCGAAUCUUAAAGCCCUUCUCAAUGAGGAAGUCCCUAAGCCUCUCAUACCAAGCUCUAGGAGCUUGCUUGAGACCAUAGAGAGCCUUGGACAACCAAUAGACAUGCUUGGGGUACCUAGGGUCUUCAAAACCAGGGGUUGCUCAACAUAGACAAGCUCAUUAAUAUAACCAUUCAAAAAAGCACUUUUCACAUCCAUUUGAAAUAACUUGAUAGCAUGACUAGAUGCAUAUGCAAGUAGGAUACGGAUUGCUUCAAGUCUUGCCACCGGUGCAAAGGUUUCACCGAAGUCAAGACCUUCCACUUGUGAAAAGCCUUUUGCCACGAGCAUUGCCUUGUUGCGCACCACUUUGCCUUGAUCAUCCUUCUUGUUCUGGAAAACCCACUUUGUUCCAAUCACUCUUGCAUCUUUGGGUCGCUCUUCAAGUGUCCACACUUGGUUGCGAGAGAAGUUGUUCAACUCCUCUUGCAUGGCAAUGAUCUAAUCCGCAUCACGAAGAGCUUCCUCUAUAGUCUUUGGUUCAUCUUCAAGAGACACAAAAGCAUGAUGUUCAAUAAAUAAAGCAUGUCUAGAGCGUAGUUACACCACGUGAUGGACUCCCGAUGAUGAGAUCUUGAGAGUGAUCUUGGAGGAGAUGUGAUGAUCUUCUUGGCGCCACUUGAGGGGUUGCUUGGGGAGCAUCAACAUCUUGUGCUUGUGCCACCGCUUGCUCAUGAGUGACUUGAGUGUCUUCAUAAGCAUCUCUCACAUCCUUGUCUUCAUCUUGUGGUAUAUGUGAGGUGGAUGGUGGCUCAAUGACUUGCACAUCAUCAUCUUCUUUUGGCUUGAUGUCUCCCACCGGAAUGUUCUUCAUGGCAUCCCUCAAUGGUUCACCACCUACAUCAUCAAGAUUAUCACUUGCUCCUUGAGAGCCAUUAGUUUCAUCAAAUUCAACAUCAAAUGUUUCUUCAACCAUGUUUGUGGCAUGGUUAAAGACCCUAUAUGCCUUGGACUUUGAUGAACAGCCAACCAAGUAGCCAAUGUCACAUCUUCUUUGGAACUUGCCCAAGUGUUGGCGCUUCUUGUAGAUGUAGCACUUGCACCCAAACACUCUAAAGAAUGAGACAUCGGGCUUCUUCCCAUUGAGCAACUCAUAUGGUGUCUUCUCUAGGAACUUGUGAGGAAAGAGCCGGUUUGAUGCAUAGCAUGCGGUGUUGAUUGCCUCGGCCCACAUCUUCUCCGAAGUGUUGUACUCAUCUAGCAUUGUUCUUGCCAAGGUGAUCAAUGUCCGGUUCUUUCUUUCUACAACCCCAUUUUGUAGUGGUGUGUAUGUUGAGGAGAACUCUUGUUUGAUUCCAACUUCAUCACAAUAUUCAUCAAUGUUGGUGUUGUCAAACUCUUUGCCAUUAUCACUCCUAAUCUUCUUGAUCUUGACAUCAAAUUGAUUUUGGGCAUUCUUUGCAAACUUCUUGAAUAUGGAUGCAACUUCGGCCUUGUCUUGCAAGAAGAAUGUCCAAGUGUACCGGGAGUAAUCAUCAACUAUGACCAAGCAAUAUUUGUUGCCUCCAAGACUAGCAUAUGUGGUAGGUCCAAAUAAAUCCAUGUGGAGUAGCUCAAGCACUCUUGAAGUAGAGAGAUAGGCCUUGGUUGGAUGAGUGUUUGCAACUUGCUUGCUGGCUUGACAUGCACUACAAAGCUUGUCUUUUUCAAAUGUCACAUCCUUCAAGCCUCUAAUCAAUUCUUUCUUCAUCAACUUCUUGAGUGUGCCCAUUCCAACAUGUGCUAAACUUCUAUGCCACAACAAACCAAGUGAGGUCCUGGUGAAUAAGCAAGUCUUGACAUCAACUUCAUCGGAUGAGAAAUCAACUACAUAUAAGUUGUUGUGUCGGAAGCCUUUGAAUACCAUUUCAUUAUCAUCCUCCUUGGUCACAAUUACUUCUUUCUUCUUGAAUAAGCAUUCAAAACCAAGAUCACAAAGUUGUCCAACCAAGAGCAAAUUGAAACCUAAUGAUUGCACAUAGAGCACAUUGGUGAUGGAGUUGUCAUUUGAUAUAGCAACCUUUCCUAGUCCCUGGACCUUACCUUUUGAAUUGUCACCAAUUGUGAUCUUCUCUUGGUUGUCAACAUCUUCAUCAAGAGAGGUGAACAUCCGGGGAUCUCCGAUCAUAUGUUGAGUGCAACCACUAUCAAUUACCCAAUGUGAUCCACCGGUCUUGUAGUUCACCUACACACACAAGAGAUCAAGCUUGAGAUUUAGGGACCCACAUUUGCUUAGGGCACUUGACCUUCUCUACUAGUUGCUUUGGCACCCAAAUCUUCUUUGGCCUUUGCUUGUUGGGCGGCCCCAUGAAGCUAACCUUGACCUUGCCACUCUUGUCUUUCCUUACAAUGUAGUGAGCAUUGAAGGCAAAUGGUCUAGCAUGCUUGGGCAAGGGUGGUGGUAGUGGUGCCUCACACUCAUUAGCAAAGUGUCCUUCUUGACCACACUCAAAGCAUCUCUUUGGCUUUGGCUUGCUUAGUUGAUCAUGAGUGGCUAGUGACUUGAUGAGCUUUGUUUGAUGAGCCUUGUAGCCAAUCCCACUCUUGUCCAUCUUCAUGACGGUGUUCAUGAAUAGUUCACUUUGAAGGUCCUUCCCUUUUGUGAACUUGGCUAACCCCUUGGUUAGAUGUUCCUUCUCUUUCUUGAUCUUGCUAUUCUCUUGAGUUAGCUUCUUGAUGAUUGGGUCAUUGUUGCUAGCUAACUCAUCUAAGAUGAAUGUCUCAUCUUCUUCUUGCUUGUCAUACAUCAAACCAAGCUUGAGAUAUUGAUUUUCUUCCAUGAGUAACUUGUUCUCAUAUGCAAGCUUCUUGUCUUGAUCAAGUGACUCAAUCACAAUUGUUUUGUGCUUGGCUUGCUCUUGCAACUCUUUCUUCAGCAUGACAACUUCUUCCUUGAGCUUGAUAGUGUCCUCAUAGCUCUCGGCCACUACCACUUUCUUGCCCUUGCAAUCAACACAUUUGCUUGUGCUCUCCACAAGUAAGUCAUCACAAGAUGUGGCUACAUCAAGCUUAGCAACAUGGUUAGUAGCAACAUGUGUUUCAUCAAUUGCAAGUUCAUAAGCUAUCUCAAGGUUGUCAUAGUUUGCUUUUAGAGUUGUUAGUUCUUCUUUCAUUGCUCUAUAUCUAGUGAUAAGCUCAUCAUGAACACUCUCAAGUUUGUCAUGUUUUUCUUUGAGUUCUUUUAAAGAGAGUUUGAGCUCCGUGAGCUUAGUGGUCAUGAUCUCAUUUUAGUCUCUAAGCUCAUCACUAGAUUUAAGCUUUGCUAGAAGAGUUUCAUUUUCAAGUUCAAGCUUUUCAUUUUCACUUCUAGUCUUUCUUAUGACCUUAGUGUACUUGUUUAGCAAUUUUACAAGUUCAUCAUAAGAAGGUGAUUCAUAUUCACUAUCAUUUUCACUACUCUCAUCCUCACUUUGUACCUUCCGGUCACCUUUAGCCAUGAGGCAUAGGUGUGUAGAGGAUGUAGAUGGUGGUGAAGGUGAUGGUGAUGAAGCAUCAAUAGCAAUGGCGGCAACCUUCUCAUCAUCACUCUCAUUGCCGGAGGAGUCACCACUUGAGCUCUCAAUGUCGGUGAGCCAAUCACCAACAAUGUAGGCCUUGCCAUUCUUCUUCUUGUGGUACUCCUUCUUGCCACCUUUCUUCUUGUAUGGCUUCUUGUCAUUCUUCUCAUCAUCACUUGAAUCAUCUUGCUCUUUGUUCUUCUUCUUGUACUUGUCCUUUUUGGGCUUUGGACAUUGAUGAGCAAGAUGACCAAGUUCACCACAAUUGUAGCAAUCCAUCUCGGAGAUGGGCUUUCUCUUGCUACUUGUGAAGAACUUCUUCUUGGAGUCAAAGUUGACUCCAUUCUUGUUGAGCUUCUUCAACAUCUUGGUAGUUCUUCUCACCAAGAGGGCAAUGGAUGCAUCAUCAUCACUUGAUGUUGAUGACUCAACUUCAAUUUUCUUGGCUUUGCCCUUGUGAGAAGCUUUGAGGGCCAAGUCCUUCUCCUUCUUGGUUGAUGAGGAGCCAUCUUGGGGGUUCAUGUGCAUAUACAUCUCAUGAGCAUUGAUCUUCCCCAAUAUGGCCGUUGGUGUAGCGGUGUAGAGAUCGCCUUGAUGAAGCACGGUUACUAUGUGCCCAUAUUUCUCAAUGGGAAGCACACAUAGUAUCUUUCUUGCGACAUCCGCCGCACUCAUUUGAGUGAGCCCAAGUCCAUUAAGCUCCUCUAUAAUCACAUUCAAGCGAGAAUACAUUUCAUUAGCAUUUUCUUUAGGAAGCAUCUCAAAUGUAUUAAGCUUGUUCAUCACAAGGUGAUAGCGUUCCUCGCGUUCACUCUUUGAUCCCUCAUGGAGCGCACAAAGUUCCUUCCAUAGAGCAUGGGCGGUUUUGUGGUUCGGAAUGCGGUUGAACACCCCUUUGCAAAGGCCUCUAAAGAUGUGGUUUUUGGCCUUUGCAUUCCACUUUUUGUUUUCUUGUUCUUGUGGAGUAAGAACAGCGUCUUUUGCUGGAGGGGUAAACCCUUCGGUCGUGGCUUUUAGGCACUUUGAGUCACAUGCCUCAAGGUAUGACUCCACCCGUAUUUUCCAAUACGGGAAGUCAUCCCCAUCGAACAUGGGUGGCGGUCCAUCCCCGUUAGACAUCUUUCUCUAGGCGGUGAAGCCUAAAUAAAGAGCACUAGGCUCCGAUACCAAUUGAAAGGAUCAAGAUGCCCAAGAGGGGGGUGAAUUAGGCUUCUCUAAAAAUUUAAGCAACCUAUAAGCUCCAAUUCAACCCCUUGUGCCUAGUGUGACUAGAGAGCUACUGGAUAAAAGUUUUGCAACCUAGUUCCAAUCCUAUUCUAGCAUGGCAAUUCUAAGAAUGUAAAAGCACAAAGUAAAUGCUAGAAGGUAAAGGAGUAGUGGAAGAAAGUGCUCGGCGAUGUUUUGCCGAGGUAUCGGAGAGUCGCCACUCUCCACUAGUCCUCGUUGGAGCACCUGCGGAAUGGUCUUGCUCCCCCUUGGUCCGCACAAGGACCAAGUGCUCUCUACGGGUUGAUUCUUUGACACUCCGUCGCGAUGAAUCGCCCAAAACCACUCACAAGCUUGACACGAGCCACCCACAAGAACUUCGGGCGGUCUUCGUGCCUCCAAUCACCACCGAACCAUCUAGGUGAUGGCGAUCUCCAAGAGUAACAAGCAAAGAACUCUCACUUGAUCCAAACAAGGCACUAGAUAGUGGUGGAUGCACACUUGACUCUUGGAAUUCAACUAGAGAAGGAUUCUCACAAGAAAUCACUCAAAUCUCAAUCCUCUUUAGGCUCUUGCUUCUGUCUUGCUCCACAACAAGUUUCUCUAAUGUUAAAAUGGGCAAGAGAGCUCUCAUGGACAAUGUGGAGGAGUAUAAAUACACCCCACGAAGUCCAAAGGUCAACCAACCGUUUUCCACUGAAAACGGGGUCACCAGACGCUGUUGAUGUUGCACCGGACGCUCUGCACCGAGCGUCCGGUGACAUCCAACGGCUAAUUGUACCUGCAUCUGACUGGUCACUGGACGCUACUUCCCAGCGUCCGGUGAAACCAUAUGGUGCUCCGGGGAGUUUUACAAGCUCCCUGAGUUUAAGACUGGACGCUGCCCAGUGCGUCCAGUGCUAGCGUCCGGUGCUCGGGGCAGGUUUACAACCUCCCUAGGUAUGGGACCGGACGCUGCCCGGUGAGUCCGGUGCCAGCGUCUGGUGCCUAACCCUAGGCACCGAAGCUCUCCAACGGCUAAGGACCUCACCGGACGUAUUCACAGAGCGUCCGGUGCAGCGUCCGGUGCCUACUUAGGCACCCUAACUUUGUCGAAACGCGAUCGUUCCAAAACGAAGUUGGUUCCUCUCGAUCUAAGGACUAUCUGUGAGCUGCCUAGUGCUAGGUUUACCAAGUGUGUGCCACACCUAAACCUAAAGCCUUGCCUAAGUCAAGAUCAAAGCCCCUCUUAAUAGUAUGGUCAAAGGAAAACAAAGUCCUAAACUAAUCUAAGUGCCCUUCUUCACCAUAUGUCACUUAGACCUAGUCUAGUCUUGACGAUGUCCAUCCAUCCUUUGAAAACUGAAACGAUUUCCACUAUUAAGUAGGCAUGUACGUCCCUGUUCAUCGAGUACCUAUUACCAUGACCUCACUAAUGACUUUGCCUCUGCAAAACACACGUUAGUCACAGUAAUCAACAUUGUCAUUAAUCAUCGAAAUCAUCACAUAUGACACACGUCAUCUAUGAGUUCAAUUGGGUGCGUCCAAAUUGAUUUCUAAGCAUAUGGUAUGUUCCUUGAAAUCAUGCACCUAUCUUGUCACUUCAACUAUGAGUACCAUUGGGUGCGUCUAAAAUGGUUUCUUAGCCUAUGGUGCAUUAGGCGUAAACCAUGCACAUAUCUUCUACCAAAACUAACACUGUAUCUAAACGAAACGAAGCAAGAUUCCAUAUGACACACAUCAUCAUGGAGUUAUAUCAGGUGCGUCCUAAUUGAUUUCUGAGCAUAUCAUAUGUUCCAUGCAAACCGUGCAUCUAUCUUGCAUCAAGAUUAGCACUAUCUCCAAAUAGACCAAACCAAGCUUUCACUUAAGCCCCUUGACCUAGGAGUACCAUCGGGUGCGUCAAAAAUGGUUUCUUAUCCUAUGGUGCAUUAGGUGCAAACCGUGCACCAAUCUUGCACCGAAACUAACACUGUCUCUAAACGGACCGAAGUGAGAUUCCAUAUGCCACAUGUCAUCAAGGAGUUUCAUCUGGUGUGUCCAAAUUGAUUUCUGAGCAUAUGGUAUGUUCCAUGCAAAUCGUGCACCUAUCUUGCAUCAAGAUUAGCACUAUCUCUAAACAGACCGAACCGAGCCUCCACUUGAGCCUCUUCACCUAGGAGUACCAACAGGUGCUUCCAAAAUGGUUUCUUAGACUUUGGUGCAUUAGGCACAAACCAUGCACCUAUCUUGCACCGAAACUAAUACUAUCUCCAAACAGACCGAAGCAAGAUUUCAUAUGACACACUGAAAGGUCCAAAUGGCUAGAGGGGGGUGAAUAGCCUAUUUAAAUUUUCUACAAACUUCAAUUAGACAAGUUGAUUAGUAAAACAAAUGGUGAAGCAAUUCUAGCACUAGCGCAACUAAGCUAUGCAAGCCACCUAUACAAACUAGUACAAGGCUAAACACUAAAGCACAACAACAAGAGAAGGCUAGUUACACUCCUAAACAAGAAGACUAAACUAAACAAGCUACAACUAGCAAGGUAUACAAAUAAGUAAAGGAGUGGAGAGUCAUUGUUAUACCAAUGUUGUAGAGUAGAGAUAUAUUCAAUCAAUCACUCACAAUCGCAAGAGAAUCCUCGGCAAGAGAUGACACAAGAUUUUUACUGAGGUUUGCUUGCUUCCCGGCAAGCUACUCCUCGUUGUGGCGAUACACCCACUUGAUGGAUCACGAGCCAAUUGGCAAUCCAAAGCUAAACCCUCAGCAGGUGCCGCACAUCCACUCACAAGAUGGGGACCCUCCAAGCCACGAGCAAUCCACUAGAGUAGCCAAUUGCGAUCUCCCAUGGGGAAGGCUCAAGAACCCCUCACAAAUCACUUGGUGAGGCUCGAAACAAUGUCCAAUCACGAGCCCAACACCACCACUGCUCCAAGCCGUCUAGGGCGUCGGGAAACACCCAAGAGUAACAAGAAAUCCAUAGCAAACUCAAGAAUCAAGUGCCACUAAAUGCAACUCUCAAAGAAAUGCACUUGAAUCUCACUCAAUCUCAAUAGAAUUAGCAAUCAAGCAAGGAGAUGAGUGGAGAGAGUGUUCUCUAGCUCAAGGUAUGUCUCAAGUAAUCAAAUGUGCAAGAGUGAACCCCCAAAAGCUGGCCACCAACUAUUUAUAAGCACCCACAAAAAACUAGCCGUUGGCUAUUUUCAAUGUGCUGCAGUCGGGCACACCGGACGCGUCCGGUAUGAACCUGGACAGCGUCCGGUGCCCUUGACCGUACGAAAACUAGCCGUUGCUGUUGAACGAGACACGUCAUCGGACCCUUGACUUGGAACGGACCGGACGGUCUUGAGAGGGUCUGGACCAAAACUCAGAGAGGUUCGCAGAAUCGCCACAGCACCGGACGUGUCCGAUGUCACACCGGACGUGUCCGGUGUGCAACGGACCUGAACUCAGAGAGCUCUUCCAGAUGAGUUUGCACCGAACGCAAACUCAGAGAGCUUCUCUGAGAAAGUGUCCUCUCCGGACAAAACACACCGGACUCUAGGUGAAAACUGUUUCCGAGUCCGGAGCCUCAACUCGGACACGUCCGACCUCAUACCGGACGCGUCUGGCCUGUACGUGCUACAUGAUACGAUCUCCAACUUCUUCCCUUGCUUCCAUGUGCCAACAACAAAGUGUCACAACACUUGUGCAAGUGUGUUAGCAUUUUCAAAAAUAUUUUUAUCAAGGAUUCAAGUUAGCACUUUACUAGAUCCUAAUGCAUAUGCUCAAGAUAUGGACCUAGUAGCACUUGAUUCGAGAGAUGAUCGUGAUUUCCCCUCUUGAUAGUCGGCUAUCUAUCCUAAACCCGGUUAAUCACUUCUCUACUCAUCUUAGACCGGCAAAAGUAAAACCCUAUGAUUAUACCUUUGCCUUGAUAACUUUGCUCCUCGUCUAUCAUCAUGAUCUUCACUUCAUGCUUCAUCCCUUUGUGAUCAUGUGGCCACCUUUCCAUGCCACCAUGCACCUUCAUCACAUGUGUUGCUAUGCCUAACUCAAAACACUUAAACACAAGGCAUUAGCAACUUGGUGUCAUUAAUUACCAAAACCAAACUUGGGCUUUCAAUCUCCCCCUUUUUGGUAAUUGAUGACAACCUUCACAAAGAUAUGAAAUGAAAUCAUAAUGAACUUGAAUUGCUUGUCCAAUGCAUUUUAAUCAUGAGACAAGGUUUGGACAAACAUUUCAUUUUUGGUUUUGGUAGUACUAGCUCUCCCUACAUAUGUGCUUCCAUGAGUUUGGUUCAAGUUUGCACAUAUGCAUGAAUUGGAAUUGUGGGAGAUUUAUUACUACCAAAAUGAUGCUAAGGUAUAUAGAAUGGACCUUUGAAGCGUGAUACCAAUCGGAGUUGCCAAUAUACCAUCCUUAGCACCAAAGUAGCUAGACAUACAUCAAAAACUCAAGAUACCUCGUGAGAUCACAUUAUAUGUCUAGAUACCACAUGAGAAUAAAACUCUAUGCUAGAAUUCAAAGCAUCAUUCAAGUUAUAUUUCUAGCAAGCACCAACCAAACAAGAAUAGUGAAUUUAAACUUGCAAUGCAACACCUCAUUAUGUUAAUGCACAUUCAAAUGCAACAAAUGGUUCAUGAGCUAGCUCCCCCUAUUUGUGUGCUCAAGUUUAAAAGGUUUUCUCUUCUUUUCUCUCCUUAUCUUUGUUUCUCUUCUUUCUCUCCCCCUUGUUGACUUUAUCUUUGUUUCUCUCCCCCUUUUUCAUCAAUGACCACAAAGGUUCAAAUUUUACUGAGAAUUAAGUCAAUCAAUGUGAGGGUAAAAUUAUGGUUUAAUCUAGAUCACUUGCCUAAAACAUGUAAUUCGGUUUGAUCCAAGGACAAGCUUUUUCACACCUCAUGAAGUAUAAGGGUUAUCUUGACCAUGUUGAAUUACACAUCAUAAGCUCAUAUUCUAGAUUCAACACUAGGCUUGCAAGCUCACCAACAUGUCAUAUGCUACCACUAGAUCAACCAAACAUAGAAGCAAUAGUGGUACCAUACAUACAUCAAAGUCUUUUGAUUUUCAUGAAUGAGCCUUGUCAUGCAAACAUGUCUACAUGUUCUAAUCAUGUCCUUAGCAAAGUAUGAAUGCUAUGUCAACCAACUUUACCUUGCUUUGUUGGAGGAGGGGCAUGUCAUAUAUAAAUGUAGGGGUGCAAUCAUCUCAAGUUGGAGAAGUCAAGUAUGUUCAACUCAUUCCUCAACUUGCAAAAUCUCUUCUCAUCAAGUGGCUUUGUGAAGAUGUCGACUAGUUGAUCUUCGGUGCCAAUGCUUUCAAUGCUAAUAUCACCCUUUUGUUGAUGAUCUCUUAUGAAAUGGUGCCUUAUGUCAAUGUGCUUGGUUCUUGAAUGUUGAACUGGAUUUUGUGUCAUCUUGAUUGCACUUUCAUUGUCACAUAGCAAAGGCACAUUCUUGAAUUUGAUUCCAAAGUCAUUCAAGGUAGCUUUCAUCCAAAGCAAUUGUGCAUAACAACUACCGGCACUAAUGUAUUCGGCCUCGGCGGUUGAUAGUGCAACACUAUUUUGUUUCUUUGAUGACCAUGAAACUAGAGAUCUUCCUAGCAAUUGACAAGUGCCACUUGUGCUCAUUCUAUCAAUCUUGCAUCCACCAUAGUCAGAGUCCGAAUAUCCAAUUAAUUCAAAGUUAGACCCCUUGGGAUACCAUAAUCCAACAUCAUGAGUGCCCUUGAGAUAUCUCAAUAUUCUUUUGGUUGCCUUCAAGUGACUCUCUCUAGGUGAAGCUUGGUAUCUUGCACAUUUGCACACACUAAACAUUACAUCCGGCCUUGAUGCGGUGACAUAGAGCAAACUUCUAAUCAUGGACCGGUAUAGCUUUUGAUCUACCAUGUUGCCACUUGCAUCACUACCUAAUUGAUCAUUUGUGCCCAUAGGUGUGCUCAUUGGUUUUGCUUCUUGCAACCCAAACUUCUUGAUCAUGUCCUUGAUGUACUUUCCUUGACUUACAAAAGAGCCAUUCUUCAUUUGCUUGAUUUGAAGACAAAGGAAGUAACUAAGCUCUCCAAUCAUGGACAUCUCAAACUCAUUUGCCAUCAUUCUUCCAAACUCUUCACAAAAGUCUUGAUUGGUUGAUCCAAAGAUGAUAUCAUCAACAUAUAUUUGCAACACAAACAAGUCCUUGCCUAGCUUCUUGGUGAAGAGGGUAGUGUCAACCUUUCCCAUCUUGAACCCUUUAGAGAGAAAGAAAUCUCUCAAUCUCUCAUACCAUGCUCUAGGUGCUUGCUUUAAACCAUACAAUGCCUUCUUGAGCUUGUAAACAUGGUUGGGUUUCUUGCCAUCUUCAAAACUGGGAGGUUGUUCAACAUAAACCAACUCAUUGAUGUAUCCAUUGAGAAAUGCACUCAUCACAUCCAUUUGAUAGAGUUCGAUGUUGUGGGCACAAGCAUAGGCUAAUAAUAUUCUAAUUGCCUCCAAUCUUGCAACCGGUGCAUAUGUUUCUCCAAAGUCAAGACCUUCAACUUGAUUGUAGCCUUGUGCUACUAAUCUUGCUUUGUUUCUCACAACUACACCAUCUUGAUCUUGCUUGUUUCUAAAGACCCACUUGGUUCCAAUGACAUUGUAGUUCUUUGGCCUCUCAACGAGCUCCCACAUUUGAUUUCUUGUGAAGUUGUUCAAUUCUUCAUGCAUGGCAUUUACCCAAUCGGAAUCCUUCAAUGCAUCUUCUAUUCUCUUUGGUUCUUCAAAAGGGACAAAUGAAUAGUGCUCACAAAAGGAUGCUAGCCUUGAUCUUGUUUGCACACCACUUUUAAUACCACCAAUGACUUGAUCCAAUGGAUGAUCCCUUGCUAUGCUUGUAGGUUGGAGAAUUGGGAAUUGAUUGCUUCCACUUGCUUGAGUUUGGUUUUGAUCAUCAUCAUGAGAGCCAGUAGUACUAGCUUGAUUUGUAUCGAUUUGCACUUCUUGAUUGAUCAUGUGAAUGUCACCAUCAUCAUCAACUUGCCUUGGCCUUAUGUCACCAACAUCCAUGUUCUUCAUUGCAUUUGCCAAUUUAUCUCCUCUCACAUCAUCAAGAUUUUGAGCUUCACUUUGAGGAUCAUCAAUUUAUCUCCUCGGUUUCAUCAAACUCAACAUCAUGAACUUCUUCCAAUGUGCCACUUGUCAAGUUCCAAACUCUAUAUGCUUUGCUUGUGGUGGAAUAACCAAGUAUGAACCCUUCAUCACAUUUCUUCUCAAAUUUGCUCAAUCUAGUGCCUUUCUUGAGAAUGUAGCAUUUGCAACCAAACACUCUAAAGUAUGCAAUGUUGGGCUUUCUUCCAUUCAAUAGCUCAUACGGUGUCUUCCCAAGCUUCCCAUGGCAAUAGAGACGGUUGCUACAAUAGCAAGCCGUGUUGAUAGCUUCACUCCAAAAUGAAUGGCUAACAUUGUAUUCACUAAGCAUUGAUCUAGACAUAUCAAUCAAGGUUGUAUUCUUCCUUUCAACUACACCAUUGGAUUGAGGAGUGUAUGUUGGAGAGAAUUGAUGUCCAAUGCCAAGAUCAUCACACAAUUCCUCAUUUCUUGUGUUCUUGAAUUCACUACCAUUGUCACUUCUAAUCUUCUUGAUAGUAGUUUCAAACUCAUUUUGCACCCUCUUGACAAAAGACUUGAAUAGAUCACAAACAUCACUCUUGUCAUAGAGAAAGAACACCCAAGUAUAUCUAGUGUAGUCAUCAACUAUCACAAAUCCAUACUUGUUGCCACCAAUGCUAGUGUAUGUUGUUGGCCCAAAUAAAUCCAUGUGCAACAGCUCAAAUGCCUUUGAUGUGCUCAUUUCACUUUUCUUAGGAUGUGCAUUUCCAACUUGCUUUCUGGCUUGACAAGCACUACAUGGUUUAUCCUUCUCAAAGGUGACAUCCUUCAAGCCUCUAACUAAGUCAUGCCUCAAUAGUUUGUUCAAUUGUUUCAUUCCAACAUGACCAAGCCUUUUAUGCCACAACCAACCCAAACUUGAUUUCCUAAUUAGGCAAGAUGUCAAUUGAGUGUCACUAUCAUUGAAAUCAACCAAGUAUAAGCUACCAUGCCUAAAUCCUAUGAAUAUCAAGUUUGAUCCAUCAACACUAACCACCUCAACAUCAUCACUUCCAAAGAUGCACUUGAAGCCAAGGUCACAAAGUUGUGCAAUUCACAAAAGAUUGAAAUCAAGGCUCUCAACUAGCAACACAUUUGAUAUGCUCAUGUCAUUUGAGAUAGCAAUUUUACCAAGCCCCUUGACCUUGCCUUUCUUGUUGUUGCCGAAGGUGAUUGAAUCAAAGCCACCAUUUUCAUUUGUAUUAAUUGACUUGAACAUACAAGACUCCCCAGUCAUAUGUUGAGUGCACCCACUAUCAAGCACCCAAUGCCUUCCUCUAGCUUUGUAAUUGACCUACAAGAAAAGAUCAAUUCUUUUUAGGUACCCAAACUUGAUUGGUUCCUCCAAGGUUAGCAACUAAGCUCUUUGGUACCCAAAUAGCUUUCUUCUUUGAGCCCAUCCAUGGUGCACCAAUGAACUUAGCAUGAACACCUUUUGUAUCCUUGAUAAGCACAUAAAAACAAUUGAGCUUAAUUGAGGAUACAUGAGCCUUGGGUUUCUUGUUCAUGCAUUGUUGCUCUAGGUGACCAACUUGCUUGCAAGCUUUGCAAUACCGGCCAUUGUUCUUCACAAAACUAGUCUUGUGAGGAGCAAAGGCGGCCUUGCCUCUCUUUGGGUUAUAGCCUAACCCCUCUUUAUAGAGAGAAGCUCUUUGGCUACCCAAGCACAUAAGCAAGCGGUCCUCACCACCAUAAGCCUUGGCUAAGGUGUGAUUGAGCUCUUUCACCUCCUUCUUGAGAAUUUCAUUCUCAACUUUAAGUGUGGUCUCACAUGUGAAACCAUCACCACUAGAUGAGGAUGAUGUAGAUGUGCUACAUGAAGGGUUAGUAGAAGCAACAACAAUAGGCUUGCUUAAAAAAUCACAUGUUAGGCCUAUGUUGCAAGUUUGAGCUUUUUCAAUUUUAGUUGGCUCAUUUUUACACUUGUUAACUAGAGAGGAAUGAGCUUCUUCAAGCUUAGUGUGAGCCUUUUGAAGCUUCUUAUGGUCUUCCUUUAGACUCUCAUAAGAUGCCCUAAGCUCAUCAAGUUCUUGCUCAAGGGUUUUCUUAUCCUUAAGCAAGGCCUUGCACUCCUUCCUUGUUUCUUUAUAGUGAUGAGUGCAAUCUUCUAGCAUAGUGAUUAGUUCAUCUUUAGUUGGUUCAUCAUCAUCACUAUCACUAGCAUGGUCACUCUCAUCAUCGGAUGAUACCUUAGUGGCCUUAGCCUUGAAGCAUGAUGGAGUGUCGAAGAUGGAGAUCUUUCCUUAGAUUGCAAUGCUAGCGUGCGCCUUCUUCUUGGUGCUUUCAUCAUCACUUGAGGAGUCAUCACUAUCCCAAGUUGCAACAAGGGCAUCACCCUUCUUCUGCUUGUUUGAGCCUUCCUUCUUUUCUUCCUUCUUCUUUUGCUUCUUUCUUUCCUUUUUGAUAGCAUCUUCAUCAUCACUAUCAUAAGGACACUUGGCGAUGAGAUGAUCCUUGCUAUGGCAUCUAAAGCACCUCAUGGAAUAAUCAUUCUUCUUGGAAGAGCUCUUCUUUCUUCUUGCCCGUUAGCCCUUAUUCUUCAUAAACUUGCUAAAUCUUUUGACAAGAAGAGCCAUCUCCUCAUCUUCAUCACAAUCACAAGAGCUUGCUUCUUCUUCACUUGAUGACUCUAUCUUGGCUUUGCCCUUAGACGAGGAGGCCUUGAAUGCCACACUUUUCUUCUUCUCAUCAUCUUUCUUCUCACCAUCCUUCUUCUUCUUCUUGAUCAACUCAUCCUUCUCAUCAUCUUCCCUAUAAGCAUCAUCAGUCAUCACCUCUUGGAAGACUUGUUGGGGAGUUGAAUCACUAAGUGUUGUCUUGACUAGCACAGUGAUCAAUGUGUCAAAUCUCUUGGGCAAGCUUCUCAAGAACUUCAUAGAGAAUUGACUAUCUUUUACUUCUUCCCCAAGUGCCUUGAGUUCAUUCAUAAUGACUUGCAACCGAUGAAACAUCUCCGGCACACAUUCAUCUUCUUGCAUCUUGAAGCUUGAGAACUUUUCUUGGAGGAUGUAUGCCUUGGCGGUCUUGGUUCCCUUGGUGCCCUCAAAUGUUUCUUCUAAUUUUGCCCAUGCAUCAUGAGCAAUCACAAUGUUCUUGAUUUGCUCAAAGGUCUUGUCAUCAAGAGCUUCAUGAAGAGCACUAAUUGCAAUGUCAUUGCAUUGAAGCUUCUUCUCUUCAACCGGUGUUGGUGCAUUCUCAUUUGCAACCUCAAACUUUGUUUCGGUCACCUUCCAAACCUCUCUAUUGUUUGACUUAAGAUGAGCGGUCAUCUUGACCUUCCAAUACGCAUAAUUGGUGCCAUCAAAGAAAGGUGCCUUCUUGGUGUUGUUGAUAUGCAAAUUAAGAGCCAUUUCUUCACCGUAGGUUGUUAAGCCUCAAAUAAACGGUGCCUCGGCUCUGAUACCACUUGAAAGGUCCAAAUGGCUAGAGGGGGGGUGAAUAGCCUAUUUAAAUUUUCUACAAACUUCAACUAGACAAGUUGAUUAGUAAAACAAAUGGCGAAGCAAUUCUAGCACUACCUCAACUAAGCUAUGCAAGCCACCUAUACAAACUAGUACAAGGCUAAACACUAAAGCACAACAACAAGAGAAGGCUAGUUACACUCCUAAACAAGAAGACUAAACUAAACAAGCUACAACUAGCAAGGUAUACAAAUAAGUAAAGGAGUCGAGAGUGAUUGUUAUACCAAUGUUGUAGAGUAGAGAUAUAUCCAAUCAAUCACUCACAAUCACAAGAGAAUCAUCGGCAAGAGAUGACACAAGAUUUUUACUGAGGUUCGCUUGAUUCCCGGCAAGCUACUCCUCGUUGUGGCGAUACACCCACUUGAUGGAUCACAAGCCAAUUGGCAAUCCAAAGCCAAACCCUCAGCGGGUGCCGCACAUCCACUCACAAGAUGGGGAUCCUCCAAGCCACGAGCAAUCCACUAGAGUAGCCAAUUGCGAUCUCCCGCGGGGAAGGCUCAAGAACCCCUCACAAAUCACUUGGUGAGGCUCGAAACAAUAUCCAAUCACUAGCCCAACACCACCGCUGCUCCAAGCCAUCUAGGGCAUCGGGAAACACCCAAGGGUAAUAAGAAAUCCACAGCAAACUCAAGAAUCAAGUGCCACUAAAUGCAACUCUCAAAGCAAUGCACUUGAAUCUCACUCAAUCUCAAUAGAAUUAGCAUUCAAGCAAGGAGAUGAGUGGAGAGAGUGUUCUCUAGCUCAAGGUAUGUCUCAAGUAAUCAAAUGUGCAAGAGUGAACCCCCAAAAGCUGGCCACCAACUAUUUAUAAGCACCCACAAAAAACUAGCCAUUGGCUGUUUUCAAUGUGCUGCAGUCGGGCACACCGGACGUGUCCUAGUUCACACCGGACGCGUCCGGUAUGAACCUGGACAGCGUCCGGUGCCCUUGACCGUACGAAAACUAGCCAUUGCUGUUGAACGAGACACGACACCGGACUCUUCACUUGGAACGGACCGGACGGUCCUGAGAGGGUCCGGACGAAAACUCAGAGAGGUUCGCAGAAUCGCCACAGCACCGGACGUGUCCGUUGUCACACCGGACGCGUCCGGUGUGUACCAGACAUGAACUGAGAGAGCUCUUCCAGAUGAGUUACACUGGACAAAAACUCAAAGAGCUUCUCCGAGAAAGCGUCCUCUCCGGACAAAACACACCGGACUCAAGGUGAAAACUGUUUCCGAGUCCGGUGCCUCAACUCGGACACGUCCGACCUCAUACCGGACGCGUUUGGCCUGUACGCGCUACACGAAACGAUCUCCAACUUCUUCCCUUGCUUCCAUGUGCCAACAACAAAGUGUCACAACACUUGUGCAAGUGUGUUAGCAUUUUCACAAAUAUUUUUAUCAAGGAUUCAAGUUAGCACUUUACUAGAUCCUAAUGCAUAUGCUCAAGAUAUGGACCUAGUAGCACUUGAUUCGAGAGAUGACCGUGAUUUCCCCUCUUGAUAGUCGGCUAUCUAGCCUAAACAGGGUCAAUCACUUCUCUACUCAUCUUAGACCGGCAAAAGUAAAAACCUAUGAUUAUACCUUUGCCUUGAUAACUUUGCUCCUCGUCUAUCAUCAUGAUCUUCACUUCAUGCUUCAUCCCAUUGUGAUCAUGUGGCCACCUUUCCAUGCCACCAUGCACCUUCAUCACAUGUGUUGCUAUGCCUAACUCAAAACACUUAAACACAAGGCAUUAGCAACUUGGUGUCAUUAAUUACAAAAACCAAACUUGGGCUUUCACACACAUCAUCAAGGAGUUAUAUCAGGUGCGUCCUAAUUGAUUUCUGAGCAUAUCGUACGUUCCAUGCAAACCAUGCUAAUUGCAUCAAGAUUAGUACUGUCUCCAAACAGACCAAACCGAGCUUUCACUUGAGCACCUUGACCUAGGAGUACCAUCGGGUGCGUCCAAAAUGGUUUCUUAUCCUAUGGUGCAUUAGGUGCAAACUAUGCACCUAUCUUGUACCGAAACAAACACUGUCUCUAAACGAACUGAAGUGAGAUUCCAUAUGACACAUGUCGUCUAUGAUUUCCACAUGGUGCCUCCAAAUUGAUUUCUGAGCAUAUGGUAUGUUCCAUGCAAAUCGUGCACCUAUCUUGCAUCAAGAUUAACACUAUCUCUAAACAGACCGAACCGAGCCUCCACUUGAGCCUAUUCACCAAGAGUACCAAAUAGUGCGUCCAAAAUAAUUUCUUAGACUAUGGUGCAUUAGGCGCAAAUUGUGCACCUAUCUUGCACUGAAACUUACAAUGUCUACAAACAGACCGAAGCAAGAUUCCAUAUGACACACGUCAUCUAGAAGUUCCAUUGGGUGCGUCCAAAUUGAUUUCUAAGUAUAUGGUAUGUUCUUUGCAAAUCAUGCACCUAUCUUGCAUCAAGAUUAGCACUAUCUCCAAACAGAUCAAACCGAGCUUCUACUUGAGCCUCUUCACUGAAGUACCAACAGGUGCUUUCAAAAUGGUUUCUUAGACUAUGGUGCAUUAGGCGCAAACUAUGCACAUAUGUUGCACCGAAACUAACAUUGUUUCUAAACAGACCAAAGUGAGAUUCUAUAUGACACACGUCAUCAAGGAGUUCCAUCGGGUGCAUCAAAAUUGAUUUCCAAGCAUAUGGUAUGUUCCAUGCAAACCGUGCACCUAUCUUGCAUCAAGAUUAGCACUAUCUCCAAACAGACCGAACCGAGCUUCCACUUGAGCCUCUUCAUCUAAGAGUACAAACAGGUGCAUCAAAAAUUGUUUCUUUGGCUAUGGUGCAUUAGGCACAAACUAUGCACCUAUCUUGCACCAAAACUUACAUUGUCUCCAAAGAGACCGAAGCAAGAUUCCAUAUAACACACAUCAUCUAGGAGUUCCAUUGGGUGCAUCCAAAUUGAUUUCAUAACAUAUGGUACGUUCCAUGCAAAUUGUGCAACUAUCUUGCAUCAAGAUUAGCACUAUAUACGAACAGAUCAAAUCGAGCCUCCACUUGAUCCUCUUCAAAUACGAGUACCAUCGAGUGCGUCUAAAAUGGUUUCUUAGCCUAUGGUGCAUUAGGCGUAAACCGUGGACAUAUCUUCUACUAAAACUAACACUGUCUCAGAACGAACCGAAGCAAGAUUCCAUAUGACAAACAUCAUCAAGGAGUUAUAUCAUGUGCGUCCUAAUUGAUUUCUGAGCAUAUCGUAUGUUCCAUGCAAACUGUGCAUCUAUCUUGCAUCAACAUUAGCACUAUCUCCAAACAGACCAAACCGAGCUUUCACUUGAGCCCCUUGACCUAGGAAUACCAUCGGGUGCGUCCAAAAUGGUUUCUUAUCCUAUGGUGCAUUGCAACAAAACUAACACUGUCUCUAAACAAACUGAAGUGAGAUUCCAUAUGACAAAUGUCAUCUAGGAGUUCCAUCUGGUGCAUCCAAAUUGAUUUCUGAGCAUAUGGUAUGUUCCAUGCAAAUCGUGCACCUAUCUUGCAUCAAGAUUAGCACUAUCUCUAAACAGACCGAACCGAGCCUUCACUUGAGCCUUUUACCUAGGAGUACCAUCGGGUGCGUCCAAAAUGGUUUCUUAGCCUAUGCUACAUUAUGUGCAAACCUUGCACCUAUCUUGCACCGAAACGAACACUGUCUCCAAACAGACCGAAGCAAGAUUUCGUAUGACACACGUCAUCUAGGAGUUCCAUCAUGUGCGUCGAUAUUGAUUUCCAAGCAUUUGGUAUGUUCCAUGCAAAUCGUGGACCUAUCUUGCAUCAAGAUUAGCGCUAUCUCCAAACAGACCGAACCGAGCAUCCACUUGAGCCCCUUCACCUAGGCGUACACGCCAUCAAGGAGUUCCAUCGGGUGCAUCCAAAUUAAUUUCCAAGCAUGUGGUAUGUUCCAUGCAAACUAUUCACUUACCUUGUAUAAGGAUUAGCACUAUGUCCAAACUGAUCGAACCAAGCUUCCACUUGAACCUCUUCACCCAGGAGUACCAAAUAGUGCGUCCAAAAUGGUUUCUUAGACUAUGGUGCAUUAGGUGCAAACUGUGCACCUAUCUUGCACUAAAACUUACAAUGUCUACAAACGAACCGAAGCAAGAUUCCAUAUGACACACGUCAUCUAGGAGUUCCAUCUCGAGCGUCCAAAUUGAUUUGUGAGCAUUUGGUUUGUUCCAUGCAAAUUGUUCACCUAUCUUGCAUCAAGAUUAGCACUAUCUCUAAACAGACAAAACCGAGCAUCUACUUGAGCCCCUUCACCUAGGUGUACCAACAAGUGCGUCGAAAAUGGUUUCUUAGACUAUGGUGCAUUAGGUGCAAACUGUGCACCUAUCUUGCACCGAAACUAACAAUGUCUCCAAAUGGACCGAAGCGAGACUCCAUAUGACACACGUCAUCAAGGAGUUCCAUCGGGUGCAUCCAAAUUAAUUUCCAAGCAUGUGUAUGUUCCAUGCAAACCAUGCACCUACCUUGCAUAAGGAUUUGCACUACGUCCAAACUGACCGAACCAAGCUUCCACUUGAGCCUCUUCAGCCAGGAGUACCAAAUAGUGCGUCCAAAAUGAUUUCUUAGACUAUGGUGCAUUAGGCGCAAACUGUGCACCUAUCUUGCACUAAAACUUACAAUGUCUACAAACGGACCGAAGCAAGAUUCCAUAUGACACACAUAAUCUAGGAGUUCCAUUGGGUGCGUACAAAUUGAUUUCUAAGCAUAUGGUAUGUUCCUUGCAAAUCAUGGACCAAUCUUGCAUCAAGAUUAGUACUAUCUCCAAAUAGAUCAAACCGAGCUUCCACUUGAGCUCUUCACCGAAGUACCAAUAGGUGCUUCCAAAAUGGUUUCUUAGACUAUGGUGCAUUAGGCGCAAACCAUGCACAUAUCUUGCACUGAAACUAACACUGUUUCUAAACAGACCAAAGUGAGAUUCCAUAUGGCACACGUCAUCAAGGAGUUCCAUCGGGUGCAUCCAAAUUGAUUUCUAAGCAUAUGCUAUGUUCCAUGCAAACAGUGCACCUAUUUUGCAUCAAGAUUAGCACUAUCUCCAAACAAACCGAACCAAGCUUCCACUUGAGCCUCUUAAUCUAGGAGUACAAACAGGUGCAUCAAAAAUGGUUUCUUAGACUAUGGUGCAUUAGGCACAAACUAUGCACCUAUCUUGCACUGAAACUAUCAUUGUCUCGAAACAGACCGAAGCGAGAUUCCAUAUGACACACGUCAUCUAGGAGUUCCAUUGGGUGCGUCCAAAUUGAUUACUUAACAUAUGGUACGUUCCACGCAAACUGUGCAACUAUCUUGUGUCAAGAUUAGCACUAUAUCCGAACAGACCAAAUCGAGCCUCUAUUUGAGCCUCUUGAACUACUAGUACCAUCGGGUGCGGUGCAUUAGGCGUAAACCGUGCACAUAUCUUCUACCAAAACUAACACUAUCUCUAAACAAACCGAAGCAAGAUUCCAUAUGACACACAUCAUCAAGGAGUUAUAUUAGGUGCGUCCUAAUUGAUUUCUGAGCAUAUCGUAUGUUCCAUGCAAACCGUGCAUCUAUCUUGCAUCAAGAUUAGCACUAUCUCCAAGCAGACCAAACCGAGCUUUCACUUGAGCCCCUUGACCUAGGAGUACCAUCGGGUGCGUCCAAAAUGGUUUCUUAUCCUAUGGUGCAUUAGGUGCAAACUAACACUGUCUCUAAACGGACCGAAGUGAGAUUCCAUAUGACACAUGUCAUCUAGGAGUUCCAUCUGGUGCGUCCAACUUGAUUUUUGAGCAUAUGGUAUUCUAUGCCAAUUGUGCACCUAUCUUGCAUCAAAAUUAGCACUAUCUCUAAACAGAUCGAACCAAGCCUCCACUUGAGCCUCUUCACCUAGGAGUACCAACAGGUGCUUCUAAAAUGGUUUCUUAGACUUAGGUGCAUUAGGCGCAAACCGUGCACAUAUCUUGCACCAAAACUAACACUGUCUCUAAGCACACCAAAGCGAGAUUCCAUAUGACACACGUCAUGAAGGAGUUCUAUCGGGUGUGUUCAAAUUAAUUUCUAAGCAUAUGGUACGGUCCAUGCAGACCGUGCAUCUAUCUUGCAUCAAGAUUAGCACUGUCUCCAAAUAGACCAAACUGAGCUUUCACUUGAGCCUUUUACCUAGGAGUACCAUCGGGUGCGUCCAAAAUGGUUUCUUAGCCUAUGCUGCAUUAUGUGCAAACCAUGCACCUAUCCUGCACCGAAACUAACACUGUCUCCAAACAGACCGAAGCAAGAUUUUGUAUGACACACGUCAUCUAGGAGUUCUUUCGGUUGUGUCCAAAUUAAUUUCUAAGCAUAUGGUACGUUCCAUGCAGACCGUGCAACUAUCUUGCAUCAAGAUUUACACUAUCUCCAAAUAGACCAAAUCGAGCUUUCACUUGAGCCUUUUACCUAGGAGUACCAUCGGGUGCGUUCAAAAUGGUUUCUUAGCCUAUGCUGCAUUAUGUGCAAACCUUGCACCAAUUAUGCACCGAAACUAACAUUGUCUCCAAACAGACCAAAGCAAGAUUUCGUAUGACACACGUCAUCUAGGAGUUCCAUCAUGUGCGUCUAGAUUGAUUUCCAAGCAUUUGGUAUGGUCCAUGCAAACCGUGCACCUAUCUUGCAUCAAGAUUAGCACUAUCUCCAAAUAGACCGAACCGAGCAUCCACUUGAGCCCCUUCACCUAAGAGUACCAACAAGUGCGUCCAAAAUGGUUUCUUAGACAAUGGUGCACAAACUGUGCACCUAUCUUGCACCGAAACUAACAAUGUCUCCAAAUGGAUUUCCAUCGGGUGCAUCCAAAUUGAUUUCCAAGCAUAUGGUAUGUUCAAUGCAAACCCUGCACCUACCUUCCAAAAGGAUUAGCACUAUCUCCAAACUAACCGAAUCAAGCUUCCACUUGAGCCUCUUCAUCCAGGAGUACAAAAUAGUGCGUCCAAAAUGGUUUCUUAGACUACGGUGCAUUAGGCGCAAACUGUGCACCUAUCUUGCACUAAAACUUACAAUGUCUACAAACGGACCGAAGCAAGAUUCCAUAUAACACACGUCAUCUAGGAGUUCCAUUGGGUGCGUCCAAAUUGAUUUCGAAGCAUAUGGUAUGUUCCUUGCAAAUCAUCCACCUAUCUUGCAUCAAGAUUAGCACAGAUCAAACCGAGCUUCCACUUGAGCCUCUUCACCGAAGUACCAACAGGUGCUUCCAACAUGGUUUCUUAGACUAUGGUGCAUUCGGUGCAAACCAUGCAUAUAUCUUGCACUAAAACUAACACUAUUUCUAAAUAGACUAAAGCGAGAUUCCAUAUGACACACGUCAUCAAGGAGUUCCAUCGGGUGCAUCCAAAUUGAUUUCCAAGCAUAUGGUAUGUUCCAUGCAAACCAUGCACCUAUUUUGCAUCAAGAUUAGCACUAUCUCCAAACAGACCGAACCGAGCUUCCAAUUGAACCUCUUCAUCUAGGAGUACAAAUAGGUCCGUCAAAAAUGGUUUUUUAGACUAUGGUGCAUUAGGCACAAACUAUGCACCUAUCUUGCACCAAAACUAACAUUGUCUUCAAACAGACCAAAGUGAGAUUCCAUAUGACACACGUCAUCUAGGAGUUCUAUUGGGCGCAUCCAAAUUGAUUUCUAAACAUAUGGUCUGUUCCAUGCAAACUGUGCAACUAUCUUGCAUCAAGAUUAGCACUAUAUCUGAGCAGACCAAAUCGAGCCUCCACUUGAGCCUCUUCAACUACGAGUACCAUCGGGUGCGUCUAAAAUGGUUUCUUAGCCUAUGGUGCAUUAGGUGUAAACCGUGCACAUAUCUUCUACCAAAACUAACACUAUCUCUAAACAAACCAAAGCAAUAUUCCAAAUGACACACAUCCUCAAGGCGUUAUAUCAGGUGCGUCCUAAUUGAUUUCUAACAUAUCGUAUGUUCCAUGCAAACCAUGCAUCUAUCUUGCAUCAAGAUUAGCACUAUCUCCAAACAGACCAAACCGAGCUUUCACUUGAGCCCCUUGACCUAGGAGUACCAUCGGGUGUGUCCAAAAUGGUUUCUUAGAAAAUUGUGCAUUAGGCGCAAACUGUGCACCUAUCUUGCACUAAAACUUACAAUGUCUACAAACGGACCGAAGCAAGAUUCCAUAUAACACACGUCAUCUAGGAGUUCCAUUGGGUGCGUCCAAAUUGAUUUUUGAGCAUAUGGUAUGUUCCUUGCAAAUCAUCCACCUAUCUUGCAUCAAGAUUAGCACUAUCUCCAAACAGAUCAAACCGAGCUUCCACUUGAGCCUCUUCACCGAAGUACCAACAGGUGCUUCCAACAUGGUUUCUUAGACUAUGGUGCAUUCGGCGCAAACCAUGCACAUAUCUUGCACUAAAACAAAUACUGUUUCUAAGCACACCAAAGCGAGAUUCGAUAUGACACACGUCAUCAAGGAGUUCUAUCGGGUGUGUCCAAAUUAAUUUCUAAGCAUAUGGUUCAAUGCAGACCGUGCAUCUAUCUUGCAUCAAGAUUAGCACUAUCUCCAAAUAGACCAAACUGAGCUUUCACUUGAGCCUUUUACCUAGGAGUACCAUCGGGUGCUUCCAAAAUGGUUUGUUAGCCUAUGCUGCAUUAUGUGCAAACCAUGCACCUAUCUUGCAUCAAAACUAACACUGUCUCCAAACAGACCGAAGCAAGAUUUCGUAUGACACACGUCAUCUAGGAGUUCCAUCAUGUGCGUCCAGAUUGAUUUCCAAGCAUUUGGUAUGUUCCAUGCAAACCAUGCACCUAUCUUGCAUCAAGAUUAGCACUAUCUCCAAAUAGACUGAACCGAGCAUCCACUUGAGCCCCUUCAUCCAGGAGUACCAACAAGUGUGUCCAAAAUGGUUUCUUAGACUAUGGUGCAUUAGGUGCAAACUAUGCACCUAUCUUGCAUCGAAACUAACAAUGUCUCCAAAUGGAUCGAAGCGAGAUUCCAUAUGACACACGUCAUCAAGGAGUUCCAUCGGGUGCAUCCAAAUUGAUUUCCAAGCAUAUGGUAUGUUCCAUGCAAACCAUGCACCUGCCUUGCAUAAGGAUUAGCACUAUCUCCAAACUGACCGAACCAAGCUUCCACUUGAGCCUCUUCACCCAGGAGUACCAAAUAGUGCGUCCAAAAUAGUUUCUUAGACUUUGGUGCAUUAGGCGCAAACUAUGUGCAAACUAUGCAUUAGGCGCAAACUAUGACCUAGGAGUACCAUCGGGUGCGUCCAAAAUUGUUUCUUAUCCUACGGUGCAUUAGGUGCAAAUCGUGCACCUAUCUUGCACCAAAACUAACACUGUUUCUAAAUGGACCGAAGUGAGAUUCCAUAUGACACACGACAUCUAGGAGUUCCAUCUGGUGCGUCCAAAAUAGAUAUCUGAGCAUAUGGUAUGUUCCAUGCAAAUCAAGCACCUAUCUUGCAUCAAGAUUUGCACUAUCUCCAAAUAGACCAAACCAAGCUUUCACUUGAGCCUUUUACCUAGGAGUACCAUCGGUGUCACAGAACCGACCAAACUAUAAGAGUUCAAGUGUCGAAACGAUCGACAAGCAAUCAAGUUUCCAAAACUUGAGCCCAUAUAAUCCCGGUAGUCAACUGAAAUCAUGAAGGACUUCAAACCAACUUGCAACAAACCAAGAUCGUAAUAAUUCCACACAACACAACGAAUGUUACAUAGUCAUUCAUUGCCGACGAAGCGGCACCACAUCGGAGUUAUUAAGUUAUUACAACACAUGUUCGAAGUAGCGGAAGCAAAGUAAUUACACACACUUUCCAAAGUUCCUUUCACCAGUUCUUGUUUAGCCAGGGUCUCAUGCCAUCCAUCCAAAAGCAUCAGAUACGAAGUAGUUAGAGAACCGUGCCCAAUGGUUAGUCCUCAUCCCCAGCGGGAUGGAGACAGGUCUUGCAGAAGCCAUCAUAAAAGAUAUCAUCUGCAACAGGUGGGAAUAAACCCUGAGUACGAGAUUGUACUCAGCUAGACUUACCCGUCUAGUAAAACAUAAAAGACACCAAGGAUCAUGCAAGGCUAACAUCAAGUAGAGCUGGUUGACUCAACAUUUGCCAAAAGCUUAAAUUAUAACUACAAUGUUGUGAGAGCAUCAUCUUUAAUUAUCAUCAGCCUACUACUAAAUUAGCACCUAUACUAAAGCACUUCACUAGAUUAUUACAAGCAAUAAUAACCAUAUCAAGUUCAUCAUGUGUCCUUCCUUGCUAUCAUCAUUAUCAUGAACCAAGUUCUUUAGUGAAUGCUACGUUUGCCGCUGCUCUGUCAAGUUCUCACUGACCGGGAGAGAUGAUGAUUCGAAUCGAAUUCCUAUCCAGCUGGAGGUGUAUUCCUAGCACUCACCCAAGCAUCCCCUGUCGGAGAGCCAACGGGUCACCUUUGGUACGACUCAAGAAUCGCGGUUCCGAUUAGCGCCGCACUCCCAGGGCUACCACUCUGCCAGGGAGGUCAGGAAUUUUAACUCACCUGCCUUUGGACUUACGCCAAUGGUCCCCCUCACACCGCACUUCCUCCGGUAGUGCGCACUUUAUACUUAUCGACCUUCCGGCCUGAGUCAUAUUACUUGGCUUCGCGGUCAGAACGAGUUAUCCGGCCAACUAAGUGUCAGACAUGCGUUCAACAUGACAAGAGGACGUACAACGGUCGGUCCUUAGCUGCCACAGACGGAGUCACUACAACCUUGCAAAACUCCGCCUGGCUUAAGUCAAUUUAAUCAGGUUCCACCCACGAUAGCACAUAUAGUCCAUCGUGAUCCAACAUAACCCUAUAUCGCGCAGGUGACAGGAAAUCACCCGACUUCUACCGAUUAAAGCAUGGCUAAGCUGCUACUCCAUCCUAACUCUACAACCAAGGUAUGGUAAGUUAUCUGGACAAGGAUGGUGUAAAAUGCAGCAAAGGUUUCAUCACAACUCCUAUACUUAAUGCAUCAAUAGAUAUAACAUAUUAAGUAAACUUUCGAAAGUAAAGGGAGACAUAGAAUGCUCUGGGGCUUGCCUUUCACGAACGAGGCUGGCUCGUGAUUUGGGCACUCAACUUCUUUGGGCUCCUCGAGUCCGACUUGCUGGACCUCCACCUCCUGGUUGCCCUCCUGGCCUUCGGGGUUCACUAGGAGCUCGUAGGAAGCGGUCGCGUCCGUUGCACCUAUUGCAUGCUCAAUGAAUAAGAAGAUGUGCAUACUAAAGGAUGAAUGCUUGAUACAUAAUUAAACUCACUGGACACUCAUUUACGGAGUAACGGUUAUAACAAGGUCACACAAGAUGACAAGUUAACUUAGCCAAAACCUACCAAGUUAAAUCAUAACAAGAAGCAUCACAUAACAGAGCAGCUCAGUAAACAAACCAUAACUAUUGCUACAAAGAUCCAACAAACUUAAGUGAGGACAUUCUCGAAAGCUUAUGAAAUUGUCUACAAAUCAUCUUUAAACAUCACAGUAAGAUUCAUAAAUUAAACAAGUGAUUUAAACAAAGUUCCAGGUUCUGUCCCAGAAAAACAGAGAACACCUAUUUCUGGAACCUAACUUAGAAAGAUCAUAACUUCAAAACUACUAAACCAAAUGAUCCCAAAUUUAAACCACAGCUAGUUCAUAAAGUUUACAACAACUUUGAUUUAGACAAGUUUCCCAGAAAACUCAGAUAUCAACAAGCAAAAGCUAAAUUACUAACUUGCUGUCCAGAACAGCUUUUAACCCACCAAUAAAUUAUUUAAUGAUAUAGCCAAAGCAUAAACAUUGUCAACCACAUGACUUAUCAGCACAAACACAUCAUAAGACCACCAGAACAUCACAUGUUAACCUAUAAUCAUUUACUAACAAGGCAUUUAUUAAUUUAAUUCUAUAAAGGGACAUAAUUACAAGAUACCAGUAAAAGUACUUAGAAAAAAUCUACAAAAAUUACAGAAGUACAAGCAUAGCAUCACAACACCACCAUAAAAUUUUCAAAGCAAUAGCACAUGUAAAUUUUUAGAUAAACAUUUAACAUUUGAGAAGGGGUUUAUUUCAUAAAUUCAGAAACAUGGCUUAUAUGGUGUCAAACAGCAGAUUUCAGAUUAUUUACAUGUUAUCAACACCCUAAACAAGUUUGUCACCAAAGUAGAGCUCCAGCAUAAGCAGCAAUUAUUUUAUAUGAUUUAAUUAAGGAAACAAGCCAAAUCUCAAACAUAAAUUACAUAUCACAGAUGUAGUACUCCAAAAAUCAUGAAAUAUUUAUCAUAGCUUUCUACUACCACACAGAGACUACCAUAAACAUUUCAUAGCAAAAUAAGCAGUAUAACAAGAGAUAUGAAUUUACUCAUGAAUAACAAGAUUAAAUCCUAAUAAAUAUUUUUACCAGAAAUCAUGGUUCAUUUUAUAUUUUUAUUAAAAACUAGCAAUCUCAAGGAACACCACAAAAUUGGUUUCAUAAUUUUUGGAUCUCAGAAACUGGAGAUAUGAUUUUUGCAAGAAAGCCAAAAAUCUGGAAUUUGAAAAAAAAGGAAGGAGAAUAUCGUUGAGUCACUGACAACAGGACCCGCGCGUCAGCGACCCAGGGAACAGAGGAUUCCUUCGCCGGCAAAUGCUCGCCGACGGUGAGCUUCUCCGGCGGAUCCAAGGGCACCAGCGUGCUCCUGGAGUGAUUCCGCAUCGAUGGAGGUAGGUGGCGCUAGGGUUUCAACUACGGAGAGGAGUCGCCGUCGGCCAUGGCGGCACGGCGGAGCUACCCCGGCCUACGCCGGCCAUCUCUGACCGGUAGAGCGUCAGGGAAGGGUGGCUUAAGCAUCAGUGAGUCAGCGCGGAGCUUUCUAGGUAGAAGCGACUAACCCUAACGGCUCCGGUGAGCCUGCUCACGUGCGAGGUGCUCGUCGGCGGUUAGCACGGCGGUGCGGCGGCCGUGUUCCCGCGCGACGGUGGAGCCUCAGUCGCAAUGGCGUGGCGUGGACCGACGCCAAGACCUAAGCAGACCCUAACGUGACUUAGAGGGGAAAAAGGGAGCAAGGAUGGAGCAGCGGCGAGGUUCGCCGGAAUCGGGGUCACGACGGCCGUGAACCCGACGACGCGGAGCUCGCGAAAUGUCGCUCACCUCGGGGAGAUCUCGUCCAACCGAUGGGUGGAGAAGAUGGAGGAGCUCGAGGCGGACUUGGAGGCGCUCGGAGGUGAGGCCAGACGCAGAGGCGAGGGCGUGAAGAGCUUGCGAAGCUCUCGGCGGCAAUGGCGACGGCGUUUCCGCCAGAGCGAGCGCGAGAGAGGAGAAGUAAGAGAGUGGACGGGCGCUGAGUGAGUGCGGGGCGUCGUGGCGUCCAUGCCAACGCCGACGACCUGACGAGCGGGGCCAACACCGGCGUACGGGCGCCAACUGGCGGACAGGUGUCGCGCUGGGCGUCCACGACGGCGAGCUCGGCUCUGAAUCAGGCGACGCGAUCACAGUCUGACAGAGCUACUUCGACACAGAUUAUCUCCCAAACUAGAGCGAGUUAGGAGAUGAUGUAGUUGACAAAGUUGGAGUACUAACUGAGUUCUACAAUACUGUCAACUGGAGCAAGAGCCAGAUCGGACUGGAUUGAAUGAUAUGGAGUUUCCAAAAUCGAUCGAGCAAACUGUUUGUGUUCCUGGACUUAGAAAAUUUUCCAAGUGUUGGAAACAGCCCUAAUUUUGCCUUGUGGGUCACUUUUGAGCUAGUUGUGUUCAUUUUCAUGAGAUGGCCAUAAAACAACUUUUGUUCCUUAUAAAAUUUGCUACAACUUUGCUGUAGAAAGUUUUGACAUGCAAACAUUUUAUGAAACACUUUUUAAAAGCCUAAGCAAAAGAGGUUUCUAGGGCCUAUUUGAGUAAGUAUGACUUAAGUGAGUAUUUUGGAGAAAUGAUCAACAUGAACAUUGUUCCUAAGGUUGAGUUAAACAUAAAUAAACUAAUUACCAAGGCAUAGAGCACAAGUACAAGCAUGGUUCACACAAACACAAGUCUAGGAAGCCUAUUUAGACAACUUAAAUCACAUUUUUGCAUAAAAUGACAUGGCUCAAGGUAGAUGAUGAUCAUGAUAUGCUUUGAGUAGAAGAUGAUGCUCAUGUUAUGCAUGUGAUUUAUGCAACCAUAACACUAGGGUGUUACAGCCCUCCCCCCUUACAAAAAUCUCGUCCCGAGAUUUGAAAGCUUACUAAUUUUCGAAGAAUGAUUUGUAAACUUCUUUCAAAUAAUCCUCGGUUUCCCAAGUGGCAUCUUCUUCCCCGUGGUUACUCCACCACACUUUGUAGAACUUAACCACACGAUUACGAUUCACCCGUUCCUUGCAGUCAAGUACCGCUACAGGUUUUUCUUCAUACACCAAGUCUGAUUUCAACUUGAUAUCUCGAACUUCCACUCUUUCCUCCGGAAUACGAAGGCAUUUCUUUAGCUAUGAUCGUGGAAGACAGGGAAAAUAGCUCGAAGCUCAACUGGGAGUUGAACUUUGUAUGCUACGUUUCCUUUCCCUUCGAGAAUCUGAUAAGGUCCCACAUAACGAGGUGAAAGCUUUCGCUUGACUCCGAACCUUUGUACACCCUUCAUCGGAGACACCUUGAUAUACACAUGCUCACCGAUCGCAAACUCAAUUGGCUUCUUCUUUUGUCAGCAUAACUUUUCUGACGAGCUUGAGCAGCUUCCAGAUGUUGCUGGAUGGUACGGACUUGCUGCUCUGCUUCGUUCACGAAAUCGAUGCCAUAAUACCUUCGCUCCCCGGAUUCCACCCAAUUCAACGGGGUUCGACACUUUCGACCAUACAAGGCUUCAAAUGGAGCCAUCUUGAUACUCUCCUGAUAACUAUUGUUAUAAGAGAACUCCGCUAAUGGCAACCAAUUAACCCAAGAACCCUUUGAGGAGAGAGCACAUGCCCUCAGCAUGUCUUCUAGGAUUUGGUUGACCCGUUCAGUUUGACCUGCUGUUUGGGGAUGAUAUGCCGAACUACAAACUAAGUGAGUACCAAUCUGCUCAUGCAGACACUCCCAAAAACGAGCAGUGAACUGUGGUCCAUGAUCUGAUAUGAUAGUUCGAGGCACACCAUACAGACGAACAAUGUGCUCGAAAUACAACUCCACAUAUUGAUGUGGACGAUAGUCAGUUCAAACUGGAAUAAAACGAGCAACCUUGGUCAAACGAUCUACAAUCACCCAGAUAGAGUCAUAACCCUUGACAGAAGUUGCAAGUCCAACGAUGAAAUCCAUGCUAACUUCUUCCCAUUUCCAACCAGGAAUUGACAAGGGUUGAAGCAAACCAGCUUUCAUAUGAACGGCCUUUACGCGACAACAAUUGUCACAACGUGCGACAAAAGCAGCAAUCUCCUUUUUCAUUUUUGUCCACCAAAACAGAGAUUUUAGAUCCUGAUACAUCUUGCUACUUCUAGGAUGGAUAGACAAUUUGGAUGAAUGAGCUUCAAAUAAGAUCUGGUUUCAUAGCUCACAGUCUUUUGGGACCACUAGUCGAUCUUUGAACCAAAGAAUUCUGUUUUCAUCAACCCGGAAGUGCUUGGUUUCUUCUUCCUUCAUUUUCCUCUUUAUAUGGUGGAUGCCUACAUCUGUUUGCUGCAAUUCGAUGACUUGGUUACGAAGAGUGCUCUCCAGAGAAAUCUGGUUGAGCACAAGUGGAUGCAUAAGAUGUGACAACAACAGAUCUUCCACCUGAACUGAGUGACAGUGCGCUUUCCGACUCAAGGCAUCCGCAACCACGUUUGCCUUGCCCGGGUGAUAGUGCACUUGUAGAUUAUAAUCUUUAAUCAACUCAAGCCACCUUCGCUGCCGCAUGUUUAAUUCAGGUUGAGUGAAGAUGUACUUGAGGCUCUUAUGAUUGGUGUAGAUAUUGCACAGAUUAGCCAGCAAAUAGUGCCUCUAGAUUUUCAAAGCAUGAACAACUGCUGCCAAUUCUAAGUCAUGAGUAGGGUAAUUAACCUCAUGCUUUCGAUGUUGGCGCGAGGCAUACGCGAUAACGCGACCUUCCUGCAUCAGCACGCAGCCUAGACCAAUGCCCGACGCGUCACAGAAGACAUCGAAGGGCUUCUCGAUAUCAGGCUGAGCUAGGACAGAAGCUGAUGUCAGCAAUGUCCUCAACUUGUGGAAUGCCGUCCACACAAACUUCUCAUCUUUUUGAAGUAGACGAGUCAUAGGCUUGGAUAUUUUUGAAAAUUCUAGGAUGAACCGACGAUAAUACCCAGCCAAACCGAGAAAACAACGAACCUCGUGUACCGAAGUUGGAACUUUCCAAUCCAGCACUUCUUGCACCUUAGCCGGAUCCACCGAUAUGCCUUCUUCAGAUAAGACAUGGCCCAAGAAAGGUACUUUCCUUAGCCAAAACUCGCAUUUGCUGAAUUUUGCAUAAAGCUGAUGCUCACGCAAACGCGACAACACCACACGCAGAUGCUCUACAUGCUCCUUUUCAUUGCAAGAAUAUACCAAGAUAUCAUCAAUGAAGACCACCACAAACUUGUCCAAUUCGUGCAUGAACACCGAAUUCAUGAGGUACAUGAAAUGAGCAGGUGCAUUCGUAAGACCGAAGGACAUGACGAGAUACUCAUACAACCCAUACCUCGUCGAGAAAGCUGUCUUGGGCACAUCUUCAGGACGGAUCUUGAUCUGAUGACACCCAGAUCGCAAAUCAAUCUUGGAGAAUACCUUAGCUUUAGACAACUGAUCAAACAAGAUAUCAAUGCGAGGAAGAGGGUAUUUAUUCUUGAUGGUCACCGCAUUUAGGGGACGAUAGUCCACACACAUGCGUAAGGACUGAUCCUUCUACUUCACAAAGAUAGCCAGACAACCCCAAGGAGAAGAACUAGGACGGAUAAGACCCUUUUUCAACAACUCAUUCAACUGGGUCUUAAGCUCUGCUAGCUCAUUGGGUGGCAUUCUAUAAGGCCUUCUAGAGAUAGGAGCGGUACCUGGAAUCAAUUCAAUUUUGAACUCCACAUCCCGAUCUGGAGGAAGUCUGGGUAAAUCAUCAGGAAAUACAUCCGGAAACUCACACACCACCGGAAUAUCCUGGAAUGCCUUAGCUGUAACUGCAUUCACAGUGCUACGGAUAAGGAUAUCUCGAGGAAGUUGCUCUAAGAACGCUUCCCUGGUAUUUGGGUCUCUCAACAUCACUACACGAGUGGGGGUGUCAAUAAGAACUCCCUUACCACUCAUCCAAUUCAUACCUAGAAUUACAUCUAUGCCCACACCGGGUAAGACAACCAGAUCAGCAAGAAACUGACAGCCUCCAAUUUCUAGAGUUGCCCCAAAAACCACUUGAUUGGUAGAAAUAUCAUUCCCAGCAGCACUAAUGCAAUAACUACCCUUAUCAAGUGUACUUGUCUUGAGAUCAUGCUUAGACACAAAGUCUGAACUCAUAAAAGAAUGUGAUGCUCCUGAAUCAAAAAGCACAAGUGCAUCACAUUGGUUAACCAGAAACUUACCAGCUGUAACUACCUCGCCAGCAGGGAUUGCCUCCACAGUUGUGUAGUGAACACGCCCCUGGCGGACGUUCCCUUGGUUGUCCUUCUUCGGCAGGUAAGGACAAUUGCUCUGCCAAUGCCCGGUCUGAUUGCAGUUCCAGCACGGACGGUUGGCAGGUGGAGUCUUGGCAUAGUUGGGACCCGUGUUACCCCUAGGAAGAGCAAUGGAGUAACCCUUGCGGAAACCCGUCUUCGCCUGAUUCUUCUUCACAGGCGGACGAUACCGCUGGUUAGGAGUCGGAGCACGGAUCGGUGGCCUAGCUGCCAGUGGAGCCUUGGAUUGGGAUGCCCCUGCCCCGGCUUCGAAAGCCCUUUUGCGAGUCUUGGUUGCAGUGUACACAGUGUUAUAGUUCUCUUGGGUGAGAGCAUCACUGACAAACUCAUUGAAAGUUGCACACUUAGAGCGGCCCAUAGUCUUCAGCAACUUGGGGCCAAGACCCCUUUUGAAGCUAGCAAUCUUCUUGGUCUCAGUGUUCACAAACUCUGGCGCAUACCUUGACAAAUGAUUGAAAGCAUGCAAGUACUCCUUCAGAGUUUUGUCGCCCUGAGUUAACUGCAUAAACUCGGUAUGCUUCAUUUCCAUGACACCAGGAGGAAUGAAAUGCCCCUUGAAUGCUUCACGGAAAAGAUUCCAGUCAAGCACAGUGUCGGCUGGAAGAGCUUCCCGAUACUGAUUCCACCAGAUGCCUGCUGGACCAUGCAGUUGGUGAGCUGCAUACUCCGCCUUCAAACCCUCAGUCAGCCGAAGUAAGCGGAACUUUUGUUCUACCGUGUUCAGCCAUUCCUCAGCUUGAAGGGGUUCUUCCGCCUCUCUAAAAGGUGGGGGCUUCGUAUCCAUGAAGUCCUUGAAGCUACUGUACUGGUUAGGUGCUGGCCCUUCGUGUGCAUUACGACCACCUUGAUUUGCCAUCUGAUUGAUGGUCUCAGUAAGCAUCCUCUGAUUUUCCACCAUCAUUUGCAUCAGCUCAGCUGGAUUUGGUGGUGGAGGAGGAGGGGGUGGGUUCAUGUUCGCACGCUGUUCCGCACCUCGAGUGCCACGAGACAUCUGUAAAGGUACAGUAAGUGAGCAUUGAUGAUGACAAAACUUGCUGUAGAAGAACUUAUAUUUAUGCCUGAAAGUAUUCGAGAGAAUAACUUUAUGGAAAAAGGCACAAUAAUUCGAUUCCACAAAACAGCAACACCAAUCCAACAUAUGACAGAGACAUCCGUAAUAUGCACCAUAACGGAAAACAUCGUCACAACCGAUCGAACAUGAUAACAUAACACAUUGGGUCCAUAGAGUUAUUACACCAUCACAGUACAUGACAUAAGGCAAAUAUCAAGGUUUUGGAUUACAUCAUGAUUACAAAAGCACCACUGCUGACUGCCAAACUACAAAAGAUCCUCCCAACAACUACUCACUACACUCCAUGCUCGUCGUCCGAGUCAGCGUCGAAGAUCGCCUCUCCAUCCUCGUCGCUAACUGGCUCAAGCUCCUCGUCCUCCACAUCCUCGUGCAAGGGUGGUGCAGCCGCUGCUGGUCCAUCGACCUCCAUACCAUCGUCAUCGGCCACAAUCACCUGAGGUCCCACCUCUGGAUACACGGGCACAGGGUGAGGAAUAGGGUGUAGCAAGUUGUAGAGACGGUGAAUCUCCGCAAGACCAGCCUCAAUCUGAUCCUGCAGAUAGUUCUCCCGCUCAAGAGACUCAAUCCGGUGCAUCUCCCAUGCCCGGCGCCUGUUCUCCGACAUACGGCGCGCAGUAUCCCUCUCACGAGUGACCUGCACCAAGCGCUCCUGCACUGUCGUCUUCUCUCUAGCCAACUGACUCAUAUGAUCCUGCUUAUGAUCUCUUUCCCUAAUGGCCUUCACCCACUGCUGCCUACGGUACUCCGCAAUGUCUUCCCAGUCAUUGCGGUCCUUCUGAGCUUGCUCCAGGAGUCUAGCUUGCUUGCGAAACUUGCGAGCACGCUUUUUAGCCUUCUGUUGCAUCUCCUGAGCCUGGCGAAUAGCCACCAUCACCUGUGCAUAGGUGUCCUCUCGCUGACUGAACAGCUUGAGCACAGCCAUCAUAGCACUCAUAGUAGGACCGGAACUCUCAGCUCGCUCUCCCCUGCCUCGGACCAACGCACAACCAUCAGCCUGCUUCCACUCCGCUGCUGCUGGAUCAGCACGGGGAAUGGAGGCCGCUGGUCCUCCUGUCAGCUCAUUGCCAAACCUCUGACAGAAAUUGAGCAGCAUAGCCUGGGCUGCAACCUGAGCUGCUUCCCAAGGAGUCUGCCCAUCUGAGUUACAGGUCCACCCUGUCCAUGUAGGCCUGCCCCCAUGUGGAGGGACAACUCCCUGCAGAGCAAACCACUGUAACUCUCCUAUCAUAUUCACCUCCCACCAAGAAUACUGAGGUGGCUCAGUACACCCCACAGACUGUAGCACUCUCCAAAGCAAGGUAGGAGUGCCAAACUCGCUCAAGAAAGUGUCACUGGGGCGAGGUGAAGCGGGCACGUCCAUCUGUGGAAAGGAAUAGGAAUACCAUGGGUAAGAGAGGAUUAUUUUUUUUAAGCAACAUUUAUUAAUUAAAAGGGGACGACUUGUAAGGGAAGGAGUAGACAGAAUGUAUGUAUGAAUGCGACAUGAUGCAUGCACGAACCGUACGUCCUCACAAACUUAGAAAAUUAAUAUUCUAACGAAUAUACGGUGGCAUACAUUCGUCUCUCGAUACGAUAACUAGCGAUUUACAUGUGCGCUGUUAGAGUACCUGUAGAAAACUUUAUUGCAGCCCACAGUUCCCAAUAUAUCACUCAAGAAAGUAGUAAACUAAGUGCACAUUGCUUGGACAUGCCCAACAUGCACAAACAAUGACACCACAGCUACCCGAGAAAUUAAAUGCUCCCCAAUUAAGUUUCUUUCGUGGUUCCAUGGUUUUGACAUGUAACCACUCCAGAAAACCACCGCGAACACUCCCCUAGACCGCCGUUUGGACGAUCAUGCUCUCACAGCUCACACUUACCAGAACGUAGGUGCGACGUUGCAUAAUUUAAAUCUAGCGACAUAUGUGGCUAAUUCACAUAUGAAGGCUACCUCUACCAUUAGACCACAGGAUAGCAUAGUGCGGUCAUCACACAUCCAUACCUGAGUACUUAGACCACAGGAUAGCAUAGUGCGGUCAUCACACAUCCAUACCUGAGUACUGCCGGAGAUGCAUAAAUAAAACCCCCCAAGUCAGUACUUAGAUAGCCACUAUAGUCCUUAUAUGGGCAAGGAGGAUUCGACCACUGGCAUAACUUAAGUAUUAAUUUACACUAUUUUAUUUAAAAACUCUUUUGUUUUUAAAUACACAAACGCUGCAUUUAUAAUGCUGAACUUGCUCCGAUACCAGCUGUCACAGAACCGACCAAAUUAUAAGAGUUCAACUGUAGAAACGAUCGACAAGCAAUCAAGUUUCCAAAACUUGAGCCCAUAUAAUCCCGGUAGUCAACUGAAAUUACGAAGGACUUCAAACCAACUUGCAACAAACCAAGAUCGUAAUAAUUCGACACAACACAGCGAAUGUUACAUAGUCAUUCAUUGCUGACGAAGCGACACCACAUCGGAGUUAUUAAGUUAUUACAACACAUGUUCGAAGUAGCAGAAGCAAAGUAAUUACACACACUUUCCUAAGUUCUUUUCACCAGUUCUUGUUUAGCCAGGGUCUCAUGCCAUCCAUCCAAAAGCAUCAGAUACGAAGUAGUUAGAGAACCGUGCCCAACGGUUAGUCCUCAUCCCCAGCGGGAUGGAGACAGGUCUUACAGAAGCCAUCAUAAAAGAUAUCAUCUGCAACAGGUGGGAAUAAACCCUGAGUACGAGAUUGUACUCAGCUAGACUUACCCGUCUAGUAAAACAUAAAAGACACCAAGGAUCAUGCAAGGCUAAUAUCAAGUAGAGCUGGUUGACUCAACAUUUGCCAAAAGUUAAAUUAUAACUACAAUUUUGUGAGAGCAUCAUCUUUAAUUAUCAUCAGCCUACUACUAGAUUAGCACCUGUACUAAAGCACUUCACUAGAUUAUUACAAGCAAUAAUAACCAUAUCAAGUUCAUCAUGUGUCCUUCCUUGCUAUCAUCAUUAUCAUGAACCAAGUUCUUUAGUGAAUGCUACGUUUGCCGCUGCUCUGUCAAGUUCUCACUGACCGUGAGAGACGACGAUUCGAAUCGAAUUCCUAUCCAGCUGGAGGUGUACUCCUAGCACUCACCCAAGCAUCCCCCGUCGGAGAGCCAACGGGUCACCUUUGGUACGACGAAGGAAUCGCGGUUUCGAUUAGCGCCGCACUCCUAGGGCUACCACUCUUCCAGGAAGGUCAGGAAUUUUAACUCACCUACCUUUGGACUUACGCCAAUGGUCCUCCGCACACCGCACUUCCUCCGAUAGUGCGCACUUUAUACUUAUCGACCUUCCGGCCUGAGUCAUAUUACUUGGCUUCGCGGUCAGAACGAGUUUUCCGGCCAACUAAGUGUCAGGCAUGCGUUCAACAUGACAAGAGGACGUACAACGGUCGGUCCUUAGUUGCCACAGACGGAGUCACUACAACCUUGCAAAACUCCGCCUGGCUUAAGUCAAUUUAAUCAGGUUCCACCCACGAUAGCACAUAUAGUCCAUCGUGAUCCAACAUAACCCUAUAUCGCGCAGGUGACAGGAAAUCACCCGACUUCUACCGAUUAAAGCAUGGCUAAGCUGCUACUCGAUCCUAACUCUACAAUCAAGGUAUGGUAAGUUAUCUGGACAAGGAUGGAGUAAAAUGCAGCAAAGGUUUCAUCACAACUCCUAUACUUAAUGCAUCAAUAGAUAUAACAUAUUAAGUACACUUUCAAAAGUAAAGGGAGACUUAGAAUGCUCCAGGGCUUGCCUUUCACGAACGAGGCUGGCUCGUGAUUUGGGCACUCAACUUCUUCUUCGGGCUCCUCGAGUCCGACUUGCUGGACCUCCACCUCCUGGUUGCCCUCCUGGCCUUCGGGGUUCACUAGGAGCUCGUAGGAAGCGGUCGUGUCCGAUGCACCUAUUGCAUGCUCAAUGAAUAAGAAGAUGUGUAACACUCUGGUGUUAAACAAACUAAAAGCGGAUCAUGUCAUCAUGAGCAUUGCAUAGCAUUUUGUUAAGCACACCCUGAUGCAUUAACUUAAAACGAGUUUAAAUUUGGUUGAAUGUGCUUAGGAAUUAAAGUGUGCUUAUAUUGUGUAUGGAUGCUUGUGUUGGUGUUUAAAACCCUUGGGUAAAAGUUUUCCGAGAACUUAAAGGGGGGAAACCCUGAUUUUAAAACCCUGGAUUUGUCCCCUUUUGUGCAAUUCAAAAACCAAGCACAACUUGAAGUUAAGUUCAGAAGCAAAGUUGUAGGUCUUGUCAAGAUGUACAACUUUGGUGUUUUGAGUUUUUGGAGUUUCAAUACAAAAUUCAAAGUAAUUUUGAAAAUACAGAUUUCCGGAAAGUGUCCCCUUUUCUAAUUUAAAUCUCCAAUUCAAAAUCUAUUUGGAAUUUUGAAACAUGGUCAACAUGAAAGUUGUAGGGCUUGAAAAGUUGAACAACUUUCAUGUUGGGAGUUUUUCAAGUUGUUUUGGAAAAUCAAAAGUAAUUUUGGAAUUUCUUAUCUGCCCCAAUUCAAAAUUGGAAUUUUUUUCCCCAACUUGAGAUAUGGAUUUCAAACUGUUUGGCUCAAAUUCAUCCCUUUCCAUUUGAAAUCAGCCUUGGACCCUUAAAGAUGUUUUGUAGUAUUCAAAAUUCUGAACAAGUUUUAUUUUGGCAGAAAUUUGACUUCUGUUCAAAUUUUGGUUGUUUUUCGCAAAAAGGCAGAAGGGGCUUUUGGGGAAGGGGGGGAUAAGUUCUAGCCCCUGUUCACGGCGGUGGACCGCCGAGCUUGGGCCGGCGUUUGCCAGCGCGUGAGCGCCGUGUCACCUCGUCCCAGCACACAUCCGUCUCCGUGGCAUCGAGUAGCAGCUGCUGGCGCCUCUGCUUGCUUCGUGGCGUUCCAUCCUGAGCUUGCCGAACUUGUCUUGCCACCGGAGCACCGACGGGCAGCGGCUCAUCCACUCCAAAUUCACCGCAGCGGUUGAUCCUCAUCCGAAUUCACCAUGGACAUAAAGUGGUUACCUCCUUGCGCACCUCCCGAACCCAUCCUUCCCUUCCCUUUCAGAUCAGAGCGUCGGAGUUCGCUGUUUUCCUCUCCGCCGGUGACAGAGCGCCGUCGUGGAGCUCUUCCCGUGGCCACGGUUUUCUAGUCGGUAUCAUGCUUCUCUGGCAGCUGUUUCAAGUUCUAUUUGUGUUCUAGUAGCUCAUGCGCUCGCUCUUUCGUUUUGGGCACGAACAGAAUCGCCGGAACGAGCUCACCGGAGCCGGAGCGUCCGCCCGACCACACGGCCAAUGACGCCCGAGCUUUCUACUGCUUCUUCCGCCGUGGUGACGUGAGCAUCGUGUUCCCUAAACCUCCUUGAAACUCCCUGUUCCUCUUGUUUACGCUCUACCGAGCUCUAGUGGCCGGUCUACAGGUGACCGCCAUGGCCGUCCGCCAUUCGCGCGGCCGAGGUGGAAAGAGAGGGGUGGAGCGUGCUUGGAGCCUAGCAGUAGGGUCGCGGGAGCGACGCGACGCUGUUGCGCACCUCAGCGCGAGCUCAGACCCCGCCGGCAUUGACCGGAGUCGCGGCCGAGCCGGCGUGCGUGUGGGAGAGAGAGCUGACGGGUGGGGAUACCCCGUCAGUGGCUGUGUGAGAGAGAAAGAGGGCGCGGACGCGCGCGGCGCGAGUAUGGGCCGGCCUGCGGGCCUUUUGGCUGGGCCUCGCCCAGUUUCAUAUUGUUUUCUUUUUCCUUUUUGUUUAAAAAUGCUGGAUGUUUGAAUUUGUAUAAUAAAUUAUUUGCUGAUCUAAAAAUUAUGAAAAUUUUUGUGUAGGUCACAUAAAUUUAUUAGAACACAGGAAAAAUGUUAGACUUUAUUUUAUGAUAGUUUGCAUGUAUCUAUAAAUUGCCUCUGUUUAUUAAUAAAUAAACCUUCCAUGAUUUUUAAUAAUCUAUGGGUAUAUCCAAAAAUCAUGAAAUUGAAUAUGGGAACUUGGGUUACUGUUAUCUAGCUUCAGGAAUAAUUUCAGCUCUUUUUGAUAAAGUAUGCUAUGUUCCUUAAUAAAGCUAUUUAAAAUAAUUAUAAAAGAAAUAGAAAUAAUUAAUCCUUUUAGGAUUUAAGUGGUAUUUUGGAUUGAUUGGCAACCAGUGGUCAUUUAGCAUGAUAUGCUCCCUGGUUAUGAUUUAUUUUAUAUAAAUGAUCUUUGUUGUUUGAUAGAUACCCAACACUGCUUAAUAAAAAUGAUAAAGUUUGUUUAGUGAUAAUCUAUGCUUUGAUAGCUAGCUUGGUUUGUUUCUUUACCAUGAAGGUAAAUUGUACUCGAGGUAAUUAUGUUGUUGUUGUCAUCCAAGAACAUGUAACCUGUCUUUAUCAUGCCAUGAGUAUCUCAUAAUCAUGCAUAUGCAUUUUUACGUAUAGAAUACGCUCCGGAAGAAUCUGAUCCUCAGUGGGUUGCUUCCGAGUUUGUGAAUCCUUCUGGUGUUGCUGAGUUGUCGGACUUCCCUUCUGGUCAAGGCAAGCCCCGGACAUUAAACCCUAUCCUUGUAUUUUCAUAAAGUUAUUUAUAUCACUUGAGUUAAUAUGAUGCAUUAGGUGAUUAGGAGUUGAAUGAAUCCUAUUUGCUGCAUUAUCUACCUUGAUGAUUUCAAUAUUAACCUUGAUACUUGUUUUAUGAAAGUACUUAGUAUGCUUAGCCCUGCUUAUUAGAUAGGUUUUCAAAUGAGAAAGUUUGAAGGGUUGUUGUGGAAUACUUUUAUGGUUAAUGGUGUUCAACUUGAGACCGGUCGGUGGACUUGCUUUAAGAAUGGAGUCUUAAAGUAGUGUCUCCAACUGUGUCGAUUAAGGACCGUAUCGUUGUUGGCCUGCUAUGAUUGAGACCUUUGAGUACAGCCCACAUGCGGUGGUAAGCCUUACCUAUAGCUAUUCCGAUACUUGUGAACGGCUAACCGCGUACUGGGAGUGGAGAGAUGGCGAGAGUAGCGUGUACCCACCUUACGGAUCUGAGAUGACCGGGAAACAUCUAGAUUGGCUGUAGGAUGGUGGUGUACUGUACUCUCGGGUGACGCUGGACCCGUUCUUAUAUGGGAGGAUCUAUAGAAAAGGUUGACAUAUGCAAGAUUAAGUUCUACAUAUGUCGUGUGGUACUGAAUCCCCAGCUGGGUUUAAUUGAUUCGAAUCGCCGUGUUUCCUCGGAUAUGGAGCCUCAAUCCUCACCCCAUCAUCGUAGUAAUAAGUGAAUCUUUGGCAUGAGAAAGAUAUGGUUUGCUUAUGAAAGUUUGAUAAUAGUUUUGGUUAGGCAUCAAUGAUGAUCUUGAGUUAAAACUUGAAAGUAGGUUUUACUCUUAGUAAGCUUUUAUGCAAAAGAAAUGCUUGAUCUUGCUAAAGCUUUACCUUGAAUCCCUAUAGCCUGCAUACCUGAGUCUUCACCUCUUUUCUAGUCGGUUAAGUCUUGUUGAGUACUUUUGUACUCAGGGUUUAUUAACCCAUGUUGCAGGUGAACCUUUUGAUCAACCUUUUGAUGGUCGUUGUUUCUUCACUCUUGUGGAGGAGAGUGAUGAUGAUGAAUCUGAUGUGUGACCUUGGGCAAGUAAAACUUGUUAUGUGGCUUAUGGUUUUUGUAAUAUAAAGUUCCGAACCUUUUAGGUACUAAAUACUUAUGGUUUGUAAUCUUUGGACUUGAGUUCAAUCUAUGUUAUGUAACCUUUCCACUUUUACUCUGAUUUAUCUUGUCUAUGAAAUGUUGUAAUACUGUAAUGCUUAAUGAGGGAAUGCCUGGAAAGAAUGUAACGUGGAUGAUUCGGGUUUCCCGAGGACACCCGACAGACUUCUUGAGUGUUGACGGUCCUUAAUGCUUACAUUUAACCAUCAACUAAUCAUAGAAAAGGAUCCAAAUGCAACCAACACCUAGACUUAGGGUUUUAUCUGAUAGAAUUCCACGAGUUUUGGUGUUUGUCUAUUUCUGCAGGGGGUUAUCAGGAAAUAAGGAAGAAAGGCCCACACGUCGGGUUUACAUAGAGAUAUUAAUGUGUCGCGCAAUUUUCUAUCAUCUAGAAGACUCCAGAAGCCACGGGAACGAACGGGGAGGAAAUCGGGCUCGGAGGCAGGGCGCCCGCCCAACUCUCCUGGGCGCCCGCCCAGCUACAGUGCCCAAUCAGGACACAUUUCGCGGAUCAUGCUCCACCGACCUAAUACUUCAAGGAAAACCACACGAUCAAUGUCGGUUUGAUCCGACGGCCCAGAUUGACUUGAAGGGACUAUAAAACCAGACCCCCCUGGCCCCUGGAGAUCAUACCUCUUCUACAGAAUCAAAGUUAGGGUUUCAAUUCUUCAUCCAAGUAGAGAGGAUCCCUCUAGUUCUUCUAGUUCUACCUCUAGUUCAUCUAGUUCUAGUUCUAGUUCAUCUGGUUCUAGUUCUAGUUCCUCUAGUUUUAGUUCUAGUUAGUUCUAGUUGUAAUCUAGAAAAUAGGGAGAGAGAAGAGGAGAGCGGAGGAGGAGCCGGAUCUGUCGGAUCUUCCUCAACAUUAUACUUUUGCAGCAUCUGGUUCGUUCUUCAUCGUUCUCCAGGUUCUUCAAUUCAUAAUUCCUAAGUUCUUUAAUUACUUUUAUUUACAUUCAAGUUAUUUAUUGGAUUCCCGCUUGCAUCAAGUGCUCUAGUCUUUAUAACGCUAGAGUAGUAAUUAAUAGAUUAGACAUGGUGUUUAGUCUUGCAAUUACCUGGAAUUGCACCCAAUCCUACGGAUUGUUGUGGUAGCCUUAGGGUAGUGACAGCCCUAACGGUCGACGUAUUCCACCACGUUCGGAUCGGUGUUUGUAGGACCGUAGUCAGACCUUCCUAGCCCCCUUCUCAUCUCUUUCCGUGGUUAGUGCUCUGAUGUCCCGAUAUAGAUAAUCUUGAAGUAAUUCUUGAUUCUUAGAUCAACUAGAGAACUCUCAGGAAACUUCCUCUCUUCCCACCAAAAAUAAUCAUAUAGUUAUCCUUGGGUGAUCUUGGAUCUUAAUUAGUACACUCAUGUUCUCUGUGGAAAAUCGAUACUCUGGAAUACUCCCGGGUGAAGGCUACAUCGGUAUCCGUGCGCUUGCGGAUUUUUCUGUUUGCGUUUAAAAUACCCAACAAGCUUUCUGGUGCCGUUGCCGGGGAACGGUAGCUGUGCUAGUUUCGAACAAGUCGUCCGUGUAUCCUUUUUCUUUUCCUUUUUUACCACACUCACCUUAUCACUUUCACUAUACCACAUGGAUUUCACUCUAAGCAUUAAUGAGCAUGUAAUUUAUUUCAUAGCCACUUCAUUUACUCCAUGCUCACAUGCAACAUCUUCACAAUCCAUUGGUCUCUCCAACAUCACCACAUUCGAGAUCUCCAACCCCCACUUCCUUUCUAUUUAUAAAAACUUUAAAAGGGCGGUUGUCGACGCAUAUGUCUAUAAUAAAUUUUGCAGAUAUCGUUGAGUUGAUCUUGAUAUAGGUCAGCGUUGGAGGGGAAACCACUUCGCCGACAUAAAUUGAGGGUUUCCCAAGGACAAGCUUAGUGUCCUAAAACAAGCACUGAUCAAAUCGUAACAUGAGCUUUUAAUUAUUUGCAACAUUACCUUGUGUAUUGAGCAUAUAAGGAUAAUUGUAAAAAUUCCUUCGGGUAUUCUUGUCACUAACCUUUCCAGGAUUGGAGCAAGAGGAUCGGAUGAAUGACAAGCACAAGGUAUGUCCAACAAAUCAUCAUACAACAUUGAAUUAAAUUCAUCCAAACUUGAAUUUUGCAAAAUUAAAGCUUGGGGGAGUACUUUAUAUAAAAACAUCAUUUGCCAUGUUGCUAUGUUGGUUGUCCCUACCUUUGAGACAUGCUCAUUUUGUUAAAUAGUAAUCACAGUACUUCAUCUCCACUUGAGUAGAUCUCUAUAAAAGCCAUCACGCUACCUUUGUUUAUCCUAGUAAGUGUUAGUUUGGAAGUACUGUACAUACUUCUAUUGGUUUUUAAAUUAAGCAUGGUGCUUAGGUUAAAUAGCCUUCCUUAAUCUAAUUAGACAUGGAGUCUAGUUUGGUUAUUGAACUAAAAACUGCUUGUGCAGAUAUUGGUAUAUUUUGUUGGACUAACCCCUGCAGGAAAACUUUCAAUAUCGACCUGGGAAGUCCUGAGAUAAACUCACAUUGGAGACAAAGAGAGACACACAUGAAGUUUAACAAUUUACACAAGGAAGGCAUAGCUCACAAGAGAUGAUCCAUGGAGGGUGCCACAAACACAAUGCAUAACCGCUAAGAGAGGAAAGCUUCCACAAGGUGAUACUGUACCAUCACUCUUCAAGUAAGGUACACUUCGAGUAAAAUAUGAAGGACUUUUACAACUCCCAGACUCCACCAAGUGAAGAACCUAGAUAUACGAGCACAAACACACUAGAGAUACUGGACACUCAGGCAAUCACUGCCCUGAGAUGGUUGAGGACGUAACUACUGGAGUAACCCCGUUGUGGAAGUAAUUACUGACCUUCUGCCGGUCAAGAGAGACAACUUCAGGACGCCCCGUCAUCCCGAUCUCUAUCGGCUUGGUGGACUUCCUAGAAGCACUUUGCGACUUUGGCUCCAGCGUCAACAUUAUGCCCAGGGUACUCUAUGAAAAAUUCUUUACACAUCCUUUAUUAGAAACAGCCAAGUGUUUGCAGCUUGCAGAUCGUACGCUAAGUUUCCCAAAGGGAAUAUUGAAGAACCUCUGCGUUCGAGUUGGUACCUUAUAUGACCCAGCAGACUUCGUGGUGAUAGAGACAGGUAGUGAUGAGAGGGCACCCAUCAUCCUAGGGAGGCCAUUCCUGAACACCUCGGGAGCUAUCAUCUACGCUAGUGCUGCCAAGAUCAGUUUCUACAUCAAGGGAAGGAAGGAGACGUUUUCCUUCAAGAACAAGACUACACAAAUCUCAGAGCAUUCUCGUCAUGAACCAAGAAAGAGGACCAACAGGAGGAACAAGAACAAGUAAAUGUGUACCGAGUCAGCUAAGAUGGUCACUGCAGCUCAAGGAGGUCAAGAUCGUCAACUCAAGUCACCUUUCUCGAUCAAGAAGGACGACCCUGGUGUUCCAAGCAUUGAGUGCACAAUCAACGGAUAUUCUUUUCAGAAGACACUCUACGACACCAGAUCAGGCGUCAACAUAAAGGCUGCAGUCACCUAUCAGCUCCUAUUCGGAACUAUGCCCCUAAAACCGACAUAAACCCAGCUCCAGAUGGCAGAUCAAACAUUUCAGAAGGUUGAAGUUACUGACAUAGGAGAAGACGAGUACGAUCCACCCAUCAUCCUUGGAAGACCGUUCCUCAACACCGUUAAAGCAAUCAUCUACAUUGGAACCGGAGAAGUCCACAUACACUUCCCCUCUGAGAAGGUACGCCGCUAUUUUACUGACCCUAACUAUAUAGUUGAAGACCCUAAGCAGGUCAGUACAAGAAGAAGACGACGCAACCGCAACCAGAGGAGGCAAAUCAUCAAGGAUGGAUGGGCAGACAACGAGGAGAAAUAGUGAGGUCUGAAGACAUACAGCUUGAACAGAACUGUCCUGAGGAGACCAUAGCACCGAGUCAGGUGUGUAGAGAGAAGAUAGUUAUAAAUGAAGAGUAGGCGCCGCCGGAACCACCGACUACGCCAUCGAGCGAAUCCCAGGAUGAUUGAGAAAACAGAGAGUCCCGUUCGGAGGACUUAAAAACACCGAACGCCUUGCCAAGAGCUUUGUUGUCUAUUUGAGCUCCACAGAAUUCAAGGAUCAAAGAAGACUAGCAGACUAGCAGACGAAGGACAUCCUAAUCGCUGUCAGGGUACUGCCGACAUUCAAAUAUACCUCCGUCACCUGCUAGCUACAUUAGAGGAAAUUACGUCAAAAUCCAGCUUGGGGGAGAGCACCCCCAUUUAUCGAGCUAAGUGUUUCUACUCACGUUUAUAUUUUACUCAAAUAAUAAAAAGAUGCAUAAUCAUAAAAACCCAAAUAAAGAUUUUGUGCUUAUAUAUAUAUCUUUGCUUAGUUUGCUAAAUAAAUGAAUAAAUAAAGUUUGCUAUGAAUCCUCAUGAUAAGCUCUCACAUGGAAAUGAUGAAUAGUUGCUCUGCCAUAACUAGUUCUCAAAAUUGAAAUCACUCUCAAGUUUAGGCAUGACUGUUAUUAAUUAAGAUUUGCUCUAAACCUAAACUUGUGGGAAGAGUACUUGAUCUAAAGUCUAAGUCGUUAACGGAUAUGAUAUGGGAAUGUUGAGCUGCUGUUUAUCUGUUCCUAGAGAUGCUAGAAUUCUGGAGAAUUUUAUCUUUGAAAAUCUUUAAAAUGUUGCAUGAUGAGUUCCAGUAUGAUGAGAGUUUAAAUUCCUACCACAGCCAUAUAUACAUGCUUGUUAGACUAUGAACCACACAUUUACUUUUUACUGCUUAUAAGCAUUGAGUGUGGUCAAGCUGUGUAGACCCUUAGGAGCUUGUCAUGUGGUUAAAUCAAGAUUCACUUGCACGUUCACUCACACAUGAUACCUCUACUCCGGAAGUACCAUCCACAUAUAUCCAUUUCCAUCUCCAGAACCACCCAAAAAUAUUCUACUCCUAAUCCGGGAGAGAAUAGCCAAAAACAUUUCUGUUUUCCCCUGUGAAAUAAAUGCUCAAGUUAUCUUGUUACUACCACUUGCUAUAUUAUUUCAUGAGAUGAGUGCUCUCUAAAAAAAAGAGAAAAAAAAGAAAAAAAAAGAGAUACGAGGAAAUAAAAAAGGGGCAAGUGCUCGGAACCUCGAAAGAAAAGAAAAAGUGAGACAAGAGGUAAAAAUGGACAAGUGUCCGACAGUAGAAUUAGGGGUACAAGAUACCCACCUGAGAGAAAAAAAAAAGAAAAUAUAGAGCAUCUCAUUCUCCUCAAAAAGUUUCAAAAGAGUAAGAAAGGUAUGUAUCCCCUCAAAAGAGCAUAAGUAGAAUUAGACUUUCACCAUUAUCACCAUCAUCACCAUACACCAUUCAUUCACCACACAUGCACAUCUUGAUUUGACUUAUUGACUUGUUCUUCUGGAUCCAUGGUUUGACUAUGCAAUAAAUGUCUUGUAAGUAUGUAUUAGCGGUCUCCCACCUAUGAGCUCCAGAUAUCAAAACCUUAUUAGAGUAGGGUGAGAGAGAAGGCAAUGCUACUAUGCCUCAUACCAAAAAUACCACAUACUUUGAGAGAAGGCAUAUAUCAUUACUGCUUUGGUAAGGAUCCAGAAAUACCACAAAAGAGAGACUAGAGAGAGUCAUACAAGAAAUCUCUGAGUUUUAUUUGAAAAUCUGCAAAAACUCCAGAGCUAUAGUUAUCGAAGAACAAGAGACAUGGUGCUUGACUAGACUGUUCUAUCUUUUAACUACUCAAGACAGAAGUGACAGUUGCAAGCCCCAUGGUGAAAGGUAAAAUGAGUAAGUUUUAAAUCUUAACAGUUUACUCUAACCCGAGAUGAGAUCUUGUUUAAACGCAUGUGUAUCUUUAAGUUAUGAAACCACUGCAGAAACUCUUGAGUUCAUCUUUGCUCAGGGACGAGCAAAGGUUAAGCUUGGGGGACCUUGUUGACGGUCCUUAAUGCUUACAUUUAACCAUCAACUAAUCAUAGAAAAGGAUCCAAAUGCAACCAACACCUAGACUUAGGGUUUUAUCUGAUAGAAUUCCACGAGUUUUGGUGUUUGUCUAUUUCUGCAGGGGGUUAUCAGGAAAUAAGGAAGAAAGGCCCACACGUCGGGUUUACAUAGAGAUAUUAAUGUGUCGCGCAAUUUUCUAUCAUCUAGAAGACUCCAGAAGCCACGGGAACGAACGGGGAGGAAAUCAGGCUUGGAGGCAGGGCGCCCGCCCAACUCUCCUGGGCGCCCGCCCAGCUACAGUGCCCAAUCAGGACACAUUUCGCGGAUCAUGCUCCACCGACCUAAUACUUCAAGGAAAACCACACGAUCAAUGUCGGUUUGAUCCGACGGCCCAGAUUCACUUGAAGGGACUAUAAAACCAGACCCCCCUGGCCCCUGGAGAUCAUACCUCUUCUACAGAAUCAAAGUUAGGGUUUCAAUUCUUCAUCCAAGUAGAGAGGAUCCCUCUAGUUCUUCUAGUUCUAGUUCUAGUUCAUCUGGUUCUAGUUCUAGUUCCUCUAGUUUUAGUUCUAGUUAGUUCUAGUUGUAAUCUAGAAAAUAGGGAGAGAGAAGAGGAGAGCGGAGGAGGAGCCGGAUCUGUCGAAUCUUCCUCAACAUUAUACUUUUGCAGCAUCUGGUUCAUUCUUCAUCGUUCUCCAGGUUCUUCAAUUCAUAAUUCCUAAGUUCUUUAAUUACUUUUAUUUACAUUCAAGUUAUUUAUUGGAUUCCCGCUUGCAUCAAGUGCUCUAGUCUUUAUAACGCUAGAGUAGUAAUUAAUAGAUUAGACG